RNAcentral lists this long non-coding RNA (73087 nucleotides) under Ananas comosus (pineapple). RNAcentral describes it as "long non-coding RNA (ACOM_LNC023709)". The record is from RNAcentral. Lineage: Eukaryota; Viridiplantae; Streptophyta; Magnoliopsida; Poales; Bromeliaceae.
AUUAUUAUAUUUGGUUAGUUUGUAAUGCAUCUAACUAAGUAACACAUAACAAUUUAUUACCCUGUGGUUUCACACUUUCUCAUUUUAGUACCAUGUGGUUUAAAGUGUAUCAAGUUAGUGUCAUAUGGUUUUAUUUUAAUAUUUUCGUCAGUUUUUUCGUUAAUAUUUUGCUAAAUUAUAUACAAAAAACUUCAGAUACCCCACCUAGAUAUAUCGAAUAUUCAUUUUAGUACCAUUUAGUUUUAACUUUGUCACCGAUUUAACAAAAAAAAAAUUAGUGAAAUCGAUAAUAAAAAGAUAAAAAUGAAACACAGGCACUAAAUUGAUAUGGUUUAAACCACAGGGUACUAAAGUGAGAAAAUGUGAAACCACAUGGGAGGUAUUUGGAGUUUUCCCAAAAGAUAUGUACCUGAUUGAAAAUGGUGGAUAGUUGAGGUACUAAAAAUAAUUGAGAUAGGAUAUAUAGGGGCUAAAGUGUAGGGAAUUAUUAUUAUUAAUUAUUAUAAAGCACACACAAGUAGCCUCAAGAGGAAAAGUUCCACGGGAGGGGCAAUUCGGUCAUUUCACAACCUCUCUCUGUAGUAGUAGUAGUACUACUACUAAUACGAGAGCUCAUCACUCAUGGCGCCCUUCGUUCUCUCUCUCUCUCUCUCUCUCUAUAUCCCUCGCAAUCCUCGAUUCCUCAAAACCCUAAACCCUAAUCCUAAAAUCGAAGGAACCCUAGGUCUCCGUAUCGCGAUUCCUCGCGCCAUUGGAUGAUCCGGAGGGUGCCGCGCUCGAUCGACGUAAGAAGGUAGGGUUUUUGAUCACGGAUUGGGCCUAGGAAGCCCUGGAACAUCGGGGUUUUGGACGUGGGAGAAAGGGAGCAGAGUUGAAUUUUGGAGCUGUGGAGGAUAUAGAGAGAGAGAGAGAGAGAGUGUGUGUGUGUGUGUAUAAAAUAGUGUGGAAAAGAUGUUGUGGAGGGUGGGGACGGGGGGGAAAAGGAGGGGAUUUUUUUGGUUUUUUUUUUUGUGUUUUUGGUUGAGGGAUUAGAUUAAGGGAACAGUUGUGGAUGGCGAGGAUUAGUUUAAUCCCCGCGUAUCUUGCAAUAUCUUGAGGGUUUUAGCCCAAAUCUCUCCCAUUCGCUUCAUUGGAUCUCUCUUUGUUGUGUGUGUGUGAGAGAGAGAGAGAGAGGGAGUGGCGGGGUCUCUUCUUCUUGUUCCUUUCUCUUCGUUGUGGCAAUCGUUGACACUGUGGUUAGCUCAUUUGCGCUCUCUACUUCUCUUUCAUUUUGGGGUGGUUUUAGCCCCAAUCUACUCUACCCUUUUCUCUCUCAUGGACCGCAGUUUCGAUUUGGGCAAUUGGUUUGGUUGAAGCAGGAGGCAGGGAAAUCGCAGAGAAACGCCAAAGUUAUCAUCUUUAGCUCUCUAGGAGGAGGGAAAUGGAAGAGAGAGGCGCAAAUGAGGGGUUUUUGAUGCGGAGGAUUUGAAAAGGUGGGGUUUUUGGGUUGAUGGGUUCGACGGAGAUGGACGUUGGAGGCGGCGGCGGCGGAGGAGGAGGAGGAAGAGGGGGUGGGUGGCGGGGGCAGGGGCAGGGGAGGGGGAGGUGGGGGGUGAGCCGGACAGCGAUGGCGGUGGUGUGGGUCGUGGCGUCGGUGGGGAUGUGGAUUGGUCUCCAUUGGUAUAGUAGGAUGGUGAGCACACUCAAAGCUCAAGAAGGGCUUGUGAGCAUGUGUGAGGAGCGGGCGCGGAUGCUCCAGGAUCAGUUCGCCGUCAGCGUGAACCACGUCCAUGCCCUCGCCAUCCUCGUCUCCACUUUCCAUUACCAGAAGCUCCCCUCAGCCCUUGACCAGGUCUACAAUGAAUCUUCUUUCUCUCUCUCUCAACCUCUACCUCUUUAUAUGUAUACCUGGAUUUCAUGUGUACUUGCUUUUUCUGUUACUUGCUGUUUGCUUCAUUUAAUUUGUACUCUUCAUUCUUUUAUAAUUGCAUCUUGUUUGUUUGCUUCGUUUACUGGUUGUUUACUUGAAUUAAGCUCAUUUCAAGGUUUUAUCUUCAAUGUACUCUCUCUCUCUCUCUCUUCCACUAGUUGUUCGCUCCAUAGAUUGGUGUUUAAAUAUCGUCAAUCAUAGUCCGAAUUAAGAAUUUCUGCAGUGACACCCCAGUAAUCCCACAUCGGAUAAUGUGGAAGAGCGAGAGAACCUUAUAUGUAGCUAACACAUUUAGUACUUAUAACUUGGGCUUAAGCAUUUUGAGCCGGUGGUUUGGGCCCAAUAAAUUGUUCGUACUAGUGGGUUCACUGGGUUGGGUCGUUAUAUUUGGUAUCGAAGCCGCUCUCCCAUAUUAUUCGAUAUGAGACUACUUGGGUGUCACAUCAUCCGAGUUCAAUCAUUUGUUUGCUUGCUCAUGUUUAGGACCACCCAUCUUGCUUAAACUCCACGUUGUUUCUUUGAUUUCAUUUGCACUUAAUCAAAUGUAUGAGUUUUUAUUUGCUUCAUUCAUGUCAUGUUUAAAUAUAUUUUGUCUGCGUUGAAAGUAGGUUUCUUACAAAAUUUAUCUUUGAUUACUUAGAAAAAUUAAUCUUUUCUUAUCAUUCCUGUCACUUCUUGGCUUUGAGCUGUACUUGGUUAUUCCUCUCACUUGUUCUCUCUGUUUAAUUGAUUUCAUUUUCUUUAAUCCGCAUUUUCGUUAAUUCACGUAGAAAAUUCUACUUUGGAUCAUCAUUCUUUAUAGCUUCCUACAUUCUCCUCAUAUGAUUUUUUUUCAGUUUGUUGCAUCCCCAUUUCAUUUUAGAUCGCUUAAAAAAAUGAAACACUUUAUUAUGUUCGGAACCAUCUCUCUGUUUAUAGAUCUAAAUUGCAAUUUAAUCCUUUAGAGAAUCAAAUGUUUUGAUUGUGAGUUUGAUUUCAGGAGACAUUCGCAGACUACACAGCUAGGACUGCGUUUGAGCGGCCGCUGUUGAGCGGGGUGGCGUACGCCCAACGCGUCGUUCACGCCGAAAGAGAGCUCUUUGAGAAGCAGCAGGGUUGGGUGAUAAUGACUAUGAAGCGGGAACCAUCUCCGGUUCAAGACGAGUAUGCUCCUGUUGUUUACUCCCAAGAGACUGUCUCCUACAUUGAAGCCCUAGAUAUGAUGUCUGGAGAGGUGUAGUUCACUAUAUCAUUGUCUUUUCUACUUGUAGCUUGCUUAGCCUGGUUGGAGCUUUCGCUAAAGUGCUGUGUAGCUAGAGCUUUUCAAAGUAGCACUAACAAUUUUGGCACAAAUUCCCCUGAAAACGUAGUAUUUGUGUGCAUGCCCAUAAAAAACCCCUGCCAUGAUAUCUAUGCAAAAAUGGCUUUUCCUUAUAUACCUCCAGCAGGGGCAUGAAUUACAUACAUUUUUCGGGUGCGCGCACAAACAGCAACUUUGUUGGGCAACUCGUGGAGUUUCAUGUUUUUCCAACAGUAUAUAUGUUAAAACCUCUUUUUUGUUAAAAAAUCCUACUUCGGCUUCCUGCUUCAACAGAAGUUGAAGCUUUUAAGUUGAAGCUUCUGCUCAUGGGGCCAGAGGCGAAAGCUCUAUUAGUUUUGUUUGCUAUAUAUGAGUAGUGCUUCUCGGAGUAAAGGAGUUAUAUCAGAAGCUAGGCCGUAUAUAGAUACUAUAGUGCUAAAUUCUAUUUUAUGCUUUUACCGCAGGAGGAUCGAGAAAAUAUCUUAAGGGCCAGAGCUACUGGGAAAGCAGUUCUUACGAGGCCAUUUCGGCUUCUAGAGUCGAAUCACCUGGGAGUGGUCUUAACAUUUCCAGUUUAUCGAUCGGGUCUAUCUCCAGAUGCAACGGUAGAGGAGCGUAUUGAAGCUACCGCAGGGUCAGAUUUGCAACUUUAAUAGAUUUACAGCCGAGAGCUUAGUUUGCAUCUUUAAUUUAGAUUUCGGUCGCAUAGUUUUGAUAUUCUCGUUUAUGAUUUAUUUCCUCUAAUGAGCGGAGACAUUAAAAAAACUAUGUCUGUUUGUUUGAAUUUGAAUUCUUUGCUUGUCCAGUUCCAUAUAUUUAGUUACUCGAUGAGCUGCAUUUUGUUAAUAAGUUUAAUUUGUUUCCAUGAUGCUAUACUUGUUCCACCAUGGCACGAUAACAUUCAUUUCAGGUUUUUGCAAAUUUUGGUUUUUUCAUCUUUAAGCUAUUUACUAUUCAUGUGAACUCUUGAUCGCCUGUAUAAUUUUAAUUUAUAAAAGUUUCUCUUGGUAUAACUAAAAAAUGGAAACUAGCAACUACUGAGAGAUAACUCUUAUCUUUACUUUGGAAAGUAUUCAUAAAUGUAACUAUUAUUUGUGAAUUUCUGCUGCGCUUUCUGUCAAAAUUAUGCUUUCAUAUUGAGAGAAAAAAUUAACUAACUGUUUUUCUGCGUUUCUUCAAUAGAUUUCUUGGAGGAGCUUUUGAUGUCGAAUCACUUGUGGAGAAUCUGCUGAGGCAGCUUGCUGGCAAUCAAGAUAUAAUGGUCAAUGUAUAUGACGUCACCAACAGUUCCGAGCCUCUUAUCAUGUACGGCCCCCAAAUUCCCAAUAACUUCAACUCGCUUUCGCAUGUUUGCAUGCUCGACUUUGGAGACCCCUUCAGAAAGCACCAGAUGGUAUGCAGGCAAGUAAAGUUUAGCAAAUUUUAGCCUAUUAAGCAUUUCGUGUAUCAUAUAAUGCUAAGAUAUCUCGAUGUUCUUAUAUAUAAAUGUUGUAAAUUUUGCUCGACCAGGUAUAGUAAGGACCCUCCGCUUCCUCUUUCAGCCAUUACAACUCCGUCUGGGGUCUUUGUCAUUUGUAUGCUUUUGGGAUACAUAUUAUAUGCGGCUUGGAGCCGCUAUGAUAAUGUUAAAGAAGAUUGCCGUAAAAUGGAAGAGUUAAAGAAACAAGCAGAGGCCGCAGAUGUUGCCAAGUCUCAGGUUAAUAUUAUUUCAAUGAUAUAAUUGUAUGUGUUUGUGCCUAUUUAUUUGAAUCAUUCGAUCAUUGUUGUAUUAUUUGAAUCUCUCUUUUGUUUCUUACCAACAGUUUCUCGCCACUGUCUCUCAUGAGAUCCGAACACCCAUGAACGGCGUCCUUGGUAAUUUCUGAAUUGUCCUUUAUAUCGUAGUUAACCUUAUAUGGAAAAAGAGGACACUUUUCAUUCUCAUUGUGUAUUGCAGGUAUGCUAGAUAUGCUAUUAGAUACUGACCUUAAUUCGACUCAAAAAGAUUAUGCUCAAACUGCACAAGUUUGUGGAAAGGCUCUAAUUUCACUGAUAAAUGAAGUUCUCGACCGCGCCAAAAUCGAAGCUGGCAAGUUGGAGCUUGAAUCGGUAUCAUUUGAUCCGCGAUCGAUUUUAGAUGACGUCAUCUCUUUAUUUUCUGCAAAAUCAAGAGAAAAAGGAAUCGAGGUGAGUUCACUUAAAAAUUGUCUAGUAUAAAAAUGUCCUGUCGUAAUCAGUAUGCUCUCAUUUGUUGUGUUUUUAACAUUAAUCGUGCCUUUUUUUUUUUAUACGCAGCUUGCUGUAUAUGUGUCGAACAAAGUUCCUGAAAUCCUCUUGGGUGAUCCUGGCAGAUUACGACAGAUAAUCACAAAUUUAGUGGGAAAUUCAAUUAAAGUAAGAAUCUUUCAUUCUAUCCGUUUCUACCUUUUUUUCCCCCCUAGCAUGUGCUUUACCAUUUCAACUUUUUAUUCUCUUUCUAUUAUUGAAUCAAUUGCUCUAAGCUUAGCUUUAACUUUCAAUUAUUAUCUACUAAUUUGUCCUUGGUGGACUCCCGAAAGUUUACAGAGCAGGGCCACAUAUUUGUCCAGGUUCAUUUGGCCGAUCAUUUAAAUCUGGGUAUGGAUGCAAAAGUCGAAACGAGUUUGAAUGGGCAUGGAGAUGAAACUAAAGUUGUCUCCGCAGGUGGAACUUUUAACACUCUUAGCGGAUUCGAAGCAGCAGAUACCCGAAACAGUUGGGAAAAUUUCAAGCAUUUGCUAUUAGAAAACGGCUUCAGCGAAAAACCAUUCGAAAGUAACGACCCUAGCAAAGUGACGCUUGUAGUAAGCGUAGAAGAUACCGGAAUUGGUAUUCCAUUUCAUGCGCAAAGUCGGGUGUUUACUCCAUUUAUGCAAGCGGAUAGCUCGACUUCGAGGAAUUACGGAGGAACAGGAAUUGGGCUGAGUAUAAGUAAGUGCUUAGUUGAAUUGAUGGGCGGUCAAAUAGGCUUUAUAAGCCGCCCUCAUGUCGGAAGCACUUUCACAUUUACCGCCGUCCUUCGAAGAUGCGAGAGAAGUUCAGGGGUGGACAUGAAAAAGCCGCUCUCUGAAGCUCUUCCGAAGUGCUCUCAGGUGAAAGCAUUUUUAGUGGAUAAACGACCCGUGAGAGUCGCUGUAACAAAAUAUCAUCUGCAAAGACUGGGGAUUGCAGUUGAUGCUUUCAGUAAUGUCGAUCUGGCAAUUGGCGCAAUCUCCAAACAAAAUAGAAAUACGGUAUCUGGGUAAGUGAGUUUUCCAUCUUACAUUAUGACAUUUUUUUUAUUUUCCUUUUGCAAAUUAAUUUCAAAAUGUAUAUCUUCUCAAUAUUUUUGUUUGUAAUUUUGUAAAACAGGUAUAAAAGGGACCAGUGCAUAUUAUUAAUCGAGAAUGAAUUUUGUUGUUCCGAAACGGGUAUCUCCGUACGCAAUCAACUAUUAGGGCAGAAACAGAAUGGCCUUACGCCCCAAGUUCCCAAAUUGAUCCUUCUGGCUACUUCUGAAUCGGAUAAAACGAAGGCGGGAUUUUCCGUCGAUGCCGUGAUCAUGAAGCCUCUGAGGGCUAGCAUGAUAGCGGCGUGCUUUCAACAAGCACUUGGGCUCGGGCAAAAGCCGAUCAGAGAGAAACCCAAUGGAUCGGCCUUCCUGCACGGCUUAUUGGCUGGAAAGAACAUUUUGGUCGUCGAUGAUAACAAGGUGAAUCUUAGAGUGGCGGCGGGAACCCUAAAAAAGUACGGGGCGAAGGUGGAGUGUGUUGAGAGCGGGAAAGAUGCUCUUGCGCUUCUGCAAUUCCCUCACAAGUUCGACGCGUGUUUCAUGGAUGUUCAGAUGCCGGAGAUGGAUGGGUAAGUCAAAUCUAUUGUUUUUAUUGUUUUAAGUAUCUUUAAUCUCCCUUGGUAUCAGCUUUGCGCGCCGCAAAAGCGAAAACUUCAAUUUGAAACAUUCGGAUCCCUUUGACAAACUUGUUACUCUAAACCCCAGGUUCGAGGCAACCCGACAAAUACGACUGACGGAGAAAAAGAUGAACGAGCGAAUGACGAACGGGGAAGGAACACAAAUCGAGCGGUCGGGAAAGGCCGAAUGGCAUCUACCGAUUUUAGCAAUGACGGCCGACGUCAUUCAAGCGACCUACGAGGAGUGCAUGAAGUGCGGAAUGGACGGGUACGUCUCGAAGCCCUUCGAGGAAGCUCAACUCUAUCAAGCGGUCGCCAAGUUCUUAGUCCCCGACCCCUGAAUAUAGCAAACCGGCAAUCGAGCUUCUUCAGUCAUCUGACCGGGCGCCAAAAUUUUGGUUAGUAGGAUAUCGAGAUACGCAUCGGAAAACAAAACACCACCGAAAAAUCGGAAUUGCAUGCAGCUGUGUAUAGUCGGCGGCGGCUCCGCCAUGUUGGGUUUAUUAUGGUCUGAGUCGGCCACGGAACGCGGUCUCGUCGAGCCAAUGUAGAAAUGUUGUUACAAUAGUGUGUAUCGAUUUUUCCUGCUAUGUUGUAUGAUGUAAAAAGAAAAAAAAAAGCCCCAAAACUCCUCGGAUCCAGCUGUACAAAAGUGGCUUGCUUGUUGAUUUCUUGCUCCACUGCAUAAUUUUGUUCUUGCGGGAUAGUAAUUUGCUGUUAUUUUGUAAACUUUUGAGGGAAGGUAUUUUUUUUGUAUCAGUUUUCAUUGUUGGAUCAUAGUAAUCUUGAGAAGAGUGUUUGAUAAAAAAAAAAGAAAAUUAUACUUUUGAUCCCCAAAUUGUGAGGUGCGUGACAUUUUGCUCCUUAAACUUUAUUUGUUAUAAUUUCGAAUUCGAAUUGUAAAAAUUAUUGUAAUUAAGUCUUACGAUCUAAUUUAAUUAGUUAAAUAUUGUUAAGUUGAAGGGUGGUAUCUAAUUUAUUACCGCAUUAUUAAUCACAGUAUUGUUAAAUUAAUUUUACAUUAACAACGCAUCAAUAUUUAGCUAAUUAAAUUGAGGUGCCAAUUUUGAUUGCGAUAAUUUAAAAAAUUCAAGCCAAAAACUUAAACAAAUUAAAAAUUGAAGACUUAAAAUAUUACGGACCGAAUAGUUUGAGGACCAAAGUGUAAUUUACCCCCAAAAAAAAAAAAGUUUGAACUCCUGCAUCACAAGAGGCAGAAAAUAGAUAUAGUAGCUCUCGGAGGUAUAAGUUUUAAUUUAGUGCUUCUGAUUCGCUAAACUCUUUAGAAUGUUUUUAUAUAUCGAUUCUCUUAACAGCACUACUUAGACAACACUUCGUUGACUUCGUUGACUAACUUUACACCACAGAAGAUUAGAAUUUGCAAGAAAAUAUAUCUUUUUAGGAGAGCUUUUUUUGCUUAGCAAUCAAAUUAUUAUUCCUAUUGAAGGGGUGUUUGGUUACGAGGAAAAUAUCUCUCGAAACAGUUUUCUGACUGAAAAAUACUUUUCCGCCUGUUCGCUUCCCGUAAAAUAUAAUUUUUCUAGGAAACUGGUGUUUGUUGAAUAUAAAAUUAUAUAAACACCGUUAUCUAAUAGCUUAAACUUUUAGAGUACAACGGUUAUUUCAUAUGGUAUCAGAGCAGGAGGUCCUGAGUUCAAGUUACGCCAGACUCCUAGCAUAUUAAUUUCCUCCCAUUUAAUUCAAGCCCACGUCAUGGGCCGACUAAAAAAGUCUCGAGCCCAGACGUGAGGGAAAGUGUUGAAUAUAAAAUUAUAUAAACACCGUUCUCUAACAGCUUAAGCUUUUAUAGUACAACGGUUAUUUCACAGUGUUUUCGUUUUCGAAACCUCUGGAAAAUGGUCGUUUUUCACGGAAAACCAUUUUUCCCCGAAAACAGUUUUCUAGAGUUUUACAAGAAACCAAACACCCCCUAAGCACCUUGCAGUCUUCUUAAGCUCUGGCUUCUGGAAGUGCUACUCUCAGCAGCAGCAGCAGCAGCAGCAGCAGCAGCAGUAAGCAUCCAGCAAAACUGAAGUCCCAGCUUUUUUCCCCCUCUGCAAGAAGCAAAAAUGAAUUAGUAGUUCCAAAUCCUAACUGCAGAGGUUUCAAUUUGAAAACUACUAACAAUUUUACUGCAACAAAAGCCGAUCAACGUAUCCGACGUAAAAAAUAGAUAACAUGGUAGUUCUUCAAAUAGAUUUACUUAAACAACACAUCCAAAUGCAACAUUGCGGAAAAAAACGAAAAAGGAAAACCCUAAAACAAAUUCGCUAUGCGAAUUCGCAGCAUAAGAAGGAAUUAACAGUGGAUCAGCAAACUCCUACCCCUUAAUGCAGCCACAAAAGUUGUCGGAUUUCAUCUCCAAUGCAUAUUCUAUAUAUAAAUAUACAGAGAAAAUGAGAGAACAUUACACUACAAAACAAGAGAAAAGGUGAAAAUGAAAGAGACAAACUAGAAUAUCACACUACAUUGUGAAACAACUCUCUACAAGAAACCUAAGACCCAUUACAAAUCCUGCCUAAGAUAGUUCGAAUAGGUUGCGUCUGUAGUGUAAAAGGACUCGUCAAGGACCGCAAAGACGUUAUCGUCCUUCAUGUCAUCCCAUUUUAGCACCUCUCUGAUAUACUUAAAUGAGUCGUCGAUCGUGCUUCGCUCGAGCGCUUUCAUCUGGAAGACGAAGAGCUUUCGAUCGCAAAGAGAAGCGUAGAGAUCCUUGAACUUCACCGCGAUGAAGUAGUACGCGUGGCUCGCGAGUGACUGGUUCGUGUGGUGCGGUUUCACGGGGCUGAAAUCGGAGAACCACUCGCACACUGUCAAAGGGAUCUUAUCUAUCUUUUCUUCGAAGGUGUCGUACUUGUUGAGGAGGAGGACGAAGGGGGUGUCCUGGAAAGAAGGGUGGUUCACUAUAUUUUCGAAGAGUUCUUUGCUUAAGAUCAUCUUGUUGCAAAGAUCGCCCGAAUCUCGAGGCCACAUUUGGUCGUAGUCGCUAAGAGAGACGCAGAAGAUCACGGCACGAAUGUCCUCGAACAUCUCGAGCCAUCUGCAGCCUUCGUUUAACCCUUUGGAGUCCACGCGGAUAAGUUGGUACCUACGGAACAAACAAACAGAGGAAGCAUGCAUUUAGCUACUAAACAAAUGCUGGUUGAGUAGACUUAUUUGAAGAAGUCGUAGAAGUGUUCUGUUAUAAUCUCCUCAACAGCUUCCUAAUAAGGUUAGAAAUAGAAGCUUCAAAUUUGAGUUCAUGCUUUUAAAGUUUGGAAGCACAUUUUAGUUUCUUCUAACCACUUCGAGCAAGUCUAAAAUUUUUUGUUUGCCAAAUAUAGGGCUUCAAGUUGCUUCUCAAUUAGAGAAGCUAUUCUGAAGCUUGUCCAUUUAAAUUCUCAACACUUUCCCAAGAUAGAAGUAAGAACUUCAAACUGGAGCUUUUGCUUUUGGGGCACCCGAGCUCAUUUCAGUUUCUUAUAACAGUUAAGUGGUCUAGACUUCUCUGUUUGUCCCGCACCUGGCUUCUGCUUCUCAAUUCGAGAAUUGUCGUCUCGAGUCGAGAAGUUGUUUCAUAAGCUGGGCCAAAUGGACACUGCUCACCCCAAAGAGGUCAAGUCGUAUUAUUACAAGCCGUCAAAAGAAGCUUGCUGAUACUAUUAUUGAUUACCGAACAUUCGUGGUAAACUCCACUAAUAAUUGGCUUAGUCUAAUCAAUUAGGUAUAAAGAGGAAAAGUAGGCUAAGUAAGUAACUUAGUUUGGGAUGACGGGCAGUCGAAUCUUCCAGUGGGUGGGUCAGAAAUCAUGCUUUGAUCAUCUAGAGAGAACUCAAGGAAAACAAGGCCGUGGCAGUCGGUGACGCCCUCGGCAUAUAAGAUGUCUUUCUCGGUGGGUUCAUACUCGUUGCUGGAAACUUCAAUUGCCUGCAAAAUGGAAAGAAGAAGAUCCAUAAACAUUGGUGUUAAAUUAUGCGAAACAACAACUUUUUAAUAGAGAGCGGUAUUUUUAUAUUUUUAUAUUUAACGUUUCCCCUCACGUCUGGGUUCGAGACUUUUGAUAGGCCCAUGACGUAGACUUAAAUUUAAUAAGAGGAAAUCAAUUAUGUUAGAAGCCUUGGAGUGACUUGAACUUAGAACCUCUUGCUUUGAUACCAUGUUAAAUAAUGCAAAACAUCUGUUUUUCUCCAAAAGCUUAAGCUGGUAGCGAGCGGUGUUCUUAUAAUUUUAUAUUUAACAAUUGGUAGACAAAGAAACUACACAUUAUUGAAAAUCAAGGAAAUUAGUCUCAGAAUGUUAAAUCAUUUCCGAUGUAGCAAACAAGCGUUCCUUUUUUGCAUUUGUACCUUCGGAGAUACGCAAAAUCACAUAAAUAGCCUUGCAGAGUUGAUAUUUGCAUGCAUGCCUGAUUCCAGAAAACCAAUUUUAUUUGCAAUCAUGCCAGUACCAUGGGAUUAUAUGCAAAACUCAUUUUAUCAUAAAUGCCCCGGCACAGGCACUUUCUCAAAUUAAACAAGGAUUUCAGGGGGGCAAGCACGUAGAUCCCAACUUUGCAGCAUAUUAAUGUAUUUGCGAAUUUGCACUGGUUCCAUGCAAAAUAUCCAGAUAGCAUUGCGCGUACCUUAUCGAGAAAAUAACCAGCAACGUUGGGAAGAGAGUGCAGCUCAUUCCUCCUUUUAUAAGUCUCUUGGAUUGCAGGAUCUCUCCAGAUCUCCUCAACGACAGGGGCGUAUUCACGAGUUGCGGCGGGAAAGAAAGCAUCCAGGUCUCCCAUAGCCACGAUUUCCAGCAGCCAGUCAGAAAAGUGCUUCAACCUUUGGUUUAUUGAAUAUAUACACGAGCAAUCUUCCUUGACUUCGCUUUCCUCUGAUUAUAUGCCAUUAUUAAAUUUUUUCUAUUUCACAGCGUGAACGGUUCAUAUAUCAAAUCAACUUUAGCUUAUGAUCUGAUGUAAUGAAAGAGUGCAGAAUGAAGAUUUAACUAUCAAAUAAGUGUUUCAAAAUGAAAGAAAAUAUCAGAGUUUAGAGUCAUGAAACUUUGACUUCUCAAAGACUAAUUGACUCAUUUUUCCAUCUUAUGCGAGAAAGAAUAUAGCAAACUCGAAUGAGUAGAGCAACAGCAGAGAGAAAGUUUCUCCGAACUUUCCCCAGGACGGUUCAUAGAAUGUGCUUUCACCAUGUGCAUAGUCCAUAAAAAGUGUCACAUGGGUAAUAUUUGGUUUUAAAAUUCCACAUUUUGCUAAUUAAUUAGUUUUUGUGAAUAAGUAAAUUCUCCAAUAAUUUACGAAAAGUGUAUUAAAGGAGUAACAAUGAUUAACAUAUCACCCAACCACCCUAAAUGGGUAAAUCGGAGGGGGGUUUCUAAGACAAAGGAGAGAAAGAAACACUAGUAGCAAACUUUGAAUGGGUAAUCAGGAAUUUUGGAUUAGGAAAUUAGUACCUUCAUCAAAAGCAAAAGAGUUUAUCAGGAAGUCUAAUAUAAUUAAGGAAAAACAUGAUGAUAUUGUACAUAAAAAAGAAUAUUAUAGUGCAUUGUAAUAGCUGCACAAAUGUAGAGCUAUACCGGAAGGGUGGGACUCAUCAGCAUACAGCCCACGAUUCCUUUUCUCCUCCAAAGCUUCAUCCUCAAACUGUUCUCGUCCUUCAAGCAAUAUACUGAGAUACUUGUAGAGGUUGCUUUGAAUCAUGAGCUUCAUACUUUGCAUUUCUUCGGCAGAAAACUUGCUUCCAUACAAGAACUUUGCCUAUUUAUUUUGAGAGAUAAGAAAAUUGUUUGGUUAUCGUGGAAAAUUGUAAAGCCAUCUUCUUUUUCAACAUUAAAAGGCAAUUGUAAAGAUGAGCCUUCCUAUAGAUUCUUGCAAGACGAUAUUCAGAUAAUUAAAAAUUAUCAGAUAUUAUAUCAAAAUACAACAACGUAGAAGAACUAGUUCAUAGAAUGGAUAGCUGUAUAACUUUGCCACUUGUGCGAGUGAAAGAAAGAGCAUAAACUAAAGAGGGUUAAUUACAAAUAUACUCUCUCCGGUUUGAUCUGAAUUUCAACUUUGACCGCAGAGUUUCAUUACCAUUAGUCCGUGUAAGUUUGGCAUCGAUUUCAAUUUCAUCCAAAGACUCAAUUUUAACCAUGGAAUCCUUGAAGUUUGACCCCAAUUUUAAUUUAGUUCUCAAAGUUCCUGUUUUAACUAAAAAAAAGAAAAAUGAGAGGAUCCUGUUUAGUGGUGCCUUUUCCAGAUGGUAUAAAAUAGAACUUAAUUGGUCCGUGUAAUAAUCUUCAUGCUUUGUGAUAUGAGGAUGAAAUUGAAAAUGGAAAUCAAACUAUUAAGCACAAAGUUUGUAAGCUGAGUAAGAAGGUGAGUAGCAGCGGUACCUGUUUAAAAAUGGUGCUCGAUCCAGAACCCUCUAGUCCAAGCAACAAAAGUUUUUGCACUCUUCUUUGCUCUAGAUACUCCGGAAUUAACCUACUUGAGGGUGCAGAGGCAUCUUCUCUCAACCCAGGAGUAUUCUCAGGAGGUGUUGGCAACGAGAACAGCGAACAAAUAAGACGAGUCGACGCCUAUCUAGCAAAACAAAACGUAAUAACUGCUCAAUAAUUUAACAUAGAAGUUCAUCAACUUCAGGCCUGCUUUUGCUCAGCUGGAGUUUCUGGAGAAGUACUUUUUGAGUAGCUUUUGCAGGAGUUUCAAAUUGGAGCUUCUAUUUUUGAAGCACAAAAGCUCAUUUUAAGCUUCUUGCCACGACAAAAGCUCCAAACUCCAGUAUUUUACAACUGAACAUCUGCUUUCUAGAAGCUUCAGGUUUUUGAAGGAGAGACGCUGUUUCCCAGAAGGCAAUCCAGACAGACAAUUAUGGCAGCCAUUUGCCAACAGAUGAAUGUACCUUUUCCCAAAUUUUUCCUCUUAUUAUAUUCUGCCCCUCCUCCUCAUACGAACCAUCAUCAUAUACCCAGAAAUGAGUACCUCGUGGGCAUUGUACAUUGGCCAGCUGAAACGAAGGUCAGUAAAAUCUCUCAUCAAGUUCCCACAUAAGCUUAAAAGCUUGACUUCAAAGGCUGUCAAAUUACCAGCAAAACCUAAGCCACUUGAAAUAUCAAACCAAGAGCAAAUUGAAUAUCCAGAAGUUGGGUGAUCUAUAUAUUUGGACACGUCAUAUCAGUGACCUAUUCUACUCCUAAAUGAGCGACUCAGUUACAGUCACGCCGCAGCGUUGAGAGGAAGAACACUUGAUACUCUUAUUUGCAAGGUCUAAUUCACCAAAUCAUGAAAUUGAAUAAAUGCCACAUUAAAGAAUUAGAGUACGAAACAACUACAGCAAUAUAUUUAACCUCCCAGAAAAACCGAAGUGCUUACCUUGAGCACUCUGAGCUCCAGUUUAGUGAUUUCACGGCCAUUUAUAAAGACCUGUGUGUUACCAUUACUAGCAUCGGGCUGUAGCUUUCCUCCCACAUUUAGCUUCGAACUAAUAAUCUGAUCAGGCUUCUCACCUUCCUGCCAGUAAACAAAAUAAUAAAGAAACAUAUAACCGCUCGAAUGAGAUCACCGGAACAAAGCAGUUGACGAGUUAAGAAAUAAGAGAAUUCAACAUUAGCAGCUGUUUUAAUCAAAAAGAGGUAUUCUAGUACACAUCACCAUAAAUAAGCUGCUAUGGGACCGGUUUAGGGUUUAGGCCCUUUAGGGUUGGUUGGUGGACAACCUCAGGAAAACUUCUAGUUUUUCAUUAUUCUAGCAAAAGGACAAAAAAUAAAGUAGGAUUUUGCUCUACUGGUACAAACUGAGUUGUUUUAGGAUAACCUGAGAAUAACUAUUCCAACCAAUCCCUGGAGUAUUGUUAUCAUUCACUCUAAACCCAAUUGUCCUUGUAAUUAAUCAUCGAAGUUUCCCUCUCCACUACGGUAAUUACUGCAAACAUUGCUGUUUAACUGUGACGUAAAACCAAACAAGAAACUGACACAGUUCCUCGAUUAUCUUCGAAAAGUGUAGUAAAUCUAUGCCCUUCAACAAGCAAAAAAAGUUUUACGGAAUUACAAUUCAAUGUAUGUAUGUUUAACUAUCAAUCUAUGUGACAUUUACUAUGAGGGACUGAUAUAGACACUAUAUCUUAGCUCCCAUUUACUACCAAAUUGUGAAAGAUACAGGAGAUACAGCACUAUCACUCAUUCACUAUUCUCCAAAUUUGACCAAUUAUGCAUCAACUAUCAUAUCUAUAUAUCAAAUCAAACAAUAAUAUAACCAACAUCAAAGGCAACAUGUUCAAAUACCUUUCCCCAGAGUCCCGAAUCCUUGUCGUACCAGUAUCUCCCGGGCCUGAGCUUCUGCGGCGGAUUCGGGCACCCCAAGAUCUCGUCGAGCUCCUCCUGUGUCAGGUCAUGGCCGUUGACGGUGAGCUGCCCGGGCCGGAGCUGAUUCGCGGCGCACUCCCUCUCGGCCUUCAUGAUCUGCUGGACCUCGCGGGGGCUGAAGAGCUUGGAGAGCAUCCGAGAGCUCUUGCCGAGGGCCGAUCGCUUCGGCUCGGCGAUCGGGCGACCGAUGCAGCCGACGCACUUGCGCCCCUCCGGCAUCGACCCCAUCGCGCGCAGCACGCAGUCGCCGCAGUAGCGCGCGCCGCACGCCAAGCACGCCUCCCGCUCCCGCAGGAUGCCCCCCUUCCCGCACCGGGCGCACGCCCCCCUCCGCCCCACCCCGCCGCCCGUCGCCGCCGCGGCCGCCGCCGGCGACGACGACGAUGGCGGCCGAGGCGGCGAUGCGCCGGCGAUCGGGUCCCCGGGCGGCUCCGCCGCGAGAUCGGGCUUCGUUGUCGUCUCAGGGCCGCGUUGAGGAGGGGAGGCGGAGGCGGAGGCGGAGCUCGCGUCGGCGGCGCCGUCGGAGUCGGGCUGAGGAAGCACCGCGGAGGAGGAGCGCGCGCUCUCCGUCGCCGCCCCGCGCGGCGGAUCCGCGCACCGGGAUCGGGCGAAGCGGGAGCCCCUGGGAAGCGCCGCCGCCGCCGCUUCGGCGGCUGCAGCGGCAGCGGCGGCCGCCGCGGAGGACGAGGAAGAGGAGCUCCGAUUCUCCAAUGGCUUGAUCCUGGGGACUUCGUAGGGUAUCGGGGGCCCAUCAUACUCCACGGAGAUGGAGUAGUCGAGGUGGUCCUCAUCGGGCAACGGAGCCCCGGGGGGGAGCAUCUUCCUCAGCGCCUCCUCCCACGAGCUCGCCGCUGCCGCCAUUAACGCACUGAACCUCAAUAUAGGGUUCGUGCUAGGGUUAGGGUUUUGGGGGCCAUUAAUGGAGCUCGGACAACAAAACGGGAAAAAAGAAGAAGAAGAAGAAGAACGAGCAAGGAGUCGUUGAGAAGAUAACGGAUAGAUUUAACGGAGAGGGAAGAGUUAAAAGCGCUAACGACCGUUACAUUUAACGGCAAAUAUAACGGCCUUUGAGACAGAGUUGACCCCCGGAGCCUUUUGUUACUUCUCGCGUUUAAAAGUCUAAGCGUCGACAAAAUUACUAAAACAACCCUGCACGAUGUAUGGUUCAAUUUAUGGGAAACCCCCCCGACUAUAGAGGAAUUUGAAACUACCUACUCAACUAUUUUCUUUUUCUCAAAAAGUUUCUUAAAUUUUUAUUGUUUUAAUUCGAAUUAGUUUAAUCAAGUGCAUUAAAUCAAAAACUUUUAUAAUAAUUGGUACUACUUUUUUGCGUUUAAUUAUUGUAAAAAAAUAAGGCAAUUAAGGGUGUACACAGUUUAGUUCCAAACCGAAUCAAAUCAAAUAAAACUAUUUGGUCCAGAUUAUAUAAUUUUUAGUUCGAUUCGGUUCAAUUUUAAAAUUUACUAAUAUUUAAAUUUUGAUUUUGGUUGUGUUUGAAUAUAUUUCUUAAACCGAAAAGUCAAUAAGUAAUGCUUUUUACACUUUUUAUCUAAACUACUUAUUAAAAUUUUAUAUUUAUGAUCAAUUUUGAUCAUAUAUCAACACAUUUUGAAAAAUUCUAUGAUUUAAUAAUAAUUUACUUUUAAAUUGUAAACUAUAAAUUAAUUAAAAAAAUAAUUGCAAAAUCAAUCCAAACUAAAUUAAUUCAGUUUGAUUUGGAUUAGUUCUGAAUAUAAAUAAGUUUGUGUUGGUUGCAAUUUUUUACAAACAAAAAAAUUCAGUAUAAUUUAAAAAUUGCCUAAAAAUUGAAUCGAACAGAACUGAUUAUAUCCAUGUAGGCAAUAGAAAUUAUUUAAAUCACAAUAAUUAAAACAAAAUUAAGCGAUGUUAAUUGAAUAAAAAAGUGUGGUGUACUUUAAAAUUCCCAAUAGUUGAGGGCCCUAUUAGUUAUGAAUCGCUAAUUGAUCUAAUCUUAUUUGCUAAAAAUGAUUAAAUAAAUUUAGUAAAAUUACCAAUAAAUUUAAUAAGAUAUUUACAGUUUUAAUUAAAGUCUCUUAAUUUUAAAAAAUUAGAAGUCGAGGCCUUAAGGGUCUCAAUAAAAUUUUUUGUAAAAAAAAAAAAAAAAAUCUGUUGAUGGGGUUUUUUCAAAAAGGAUUAUGUUGAGGGGGGUCUCUAUACAUUUUACAUUAAAAAACUAAAAAUAAUUAAUAUUUGAGGGGCAUUUUAGUAAUUUUAACUUCGCGCAUGUUUAUUUCGUCCGGCGUUUUGAUGCGACUAUAUCGCAGGAACAUUUUUUUAACUCCAUUACUGAGUAGUAAAAGCGCGAGCCAAUUAAAACUUGCCACGCCAGUGCACUUGGUCUACUGUACGGUUCAUUUUAGAAAGAACGGCGUGGGGCCCACAGCUGGUAACCGUUGGAUCAGAAGGCAACGGAUGUGAUGCGCCGUCGGGGCUUUUGCCUGCACCUGGUUUAUAGGUGCGCACCAUACACCGCACCAAUAAAAUUACUUGAACUUGACCCGUCAGUGAACUUGGUCUACCCAAUUUUCCCCAACGGUUCACCCGGACAAAUAGGACGGUGUGGGGCCCAUAGCUGGUACUGACCGUUUGAUCACAAGGGAACGGAAAUGAUGGGACGUCGAAAUUUUUUUCCUGCACCCGGUGUAUAACUACAUCUCAUGCACCGCACCAAUAAAAAAAAACGUAAUUAGCUUCAAUUCAUUAAAAACAUAAUUAUGUUUAAUUUUGAAGUGAAAAUAUUAUUCACUAAUUCAAAUCAAACAAAUUAAAAUAUUAUGUAGUAAAAUCAAAAUUUUUUGAAAAUUAAAUCGUUGAAUCAAAAUCGCUCAUAAUUCAAAUAAAUUUUCUACAUUUUUAUAUAUUCAUAAAAUUAAAUUUUAAUUUAAAAUAUAUUAUAUAUUAUACUUAACUAGUGAACCCGUGACAAAUGGCAUAAUUUUGAAAACAAGAAACUUUAUGGUCAAAAUUAUGUGAAAUUCAAAAAUUCAAAUUAUCCUCUCCGAUCAGAGCUUUAUUCUAUAUGAAUUUAGUGAACUCAUUUAAAAUUCAACAAUUUACAAUUAUUAAAAUUUAAAUCAUACUUUAUCAUUCGGAUUUAUUCUCUACACAUUUUUUCAUAUAUAUUUUUUGCAUGAUCCUAUUAUUUUAAAAAAUUAAUUUUUAUUGAGGGUGUUCGGUUUCUCAAAAAAUUAUAAAAAAUAUUUUAUUAUUUUGCAGGAAAAAAGCUUUCUAAAAAAAAAAUAUUUUAUUUCACCUUUUCAUUUUUUGGAUAAAAAAUUUUAAAAAUAAAAAAUUAAUUUUUCAUAAGAUCCGGAAAUAUUUUUCUACGAAUCAAACGGAUAGAAAAAUAAUUUUUCAAAAUAUUUUUUGGAAAAUCAAACAACCCCAAGUUAAUGAUGGAAUAUUAUCAAAGUGUGGUGUAGUGGAGUGUACUUAUACACCCGGUGCAGGGAAUAAUGUUUUUGCGGUGGGGUGGGGGGAGCUCUGUUUCGAAACGGACGGUUCACGAGGGUGGGUGUACGGAGUGUCGACACGGGAUUACGGAAUCCGACCGUUGGAGUUUAAAAUAAAAACUUUUUUUUGCAUUUAGCUCCCUCAUAAAUUUUUUACUAUAAAUACAUUUCUAAAAUUUAUAUUUGCAAGAUUGGUUCUAUCCCCGCCACGAAAACACCACGCGGGCACCACGUGGACGUGGCAGUAGCUUAAGUUGAAUACGGUGAACUAUUCACUAUAUUUGAAUAAGUAAAUAAUUCACUAUAUCCUUUCUAAACCCUAAAUCUAAAAUAUUACAUAAUAUCAUAAUAGAAAAAUAAUGAAAAAACUUCCAAAACUCCCCCUUGUGGUUUCACUUUUUCUCACUUUAGUAUCCUGUGGUUUAAAGUGUAUCAAGUUAGUAUCUUGUGGUUUCGUACUUUCUCACUUUAGUACUCUAUAGUUUAAAAUGUAUCAAGUUAGUACUCUGUGGUUUUAUUUUUGUAUCAAGUUAGUACCAUGUGGUUUUAUUUUUGUAUCAAGUGAGUAACCUAUAGUUUUUAAACCACAUGGUACUAAAGUGAGAAAGUGCGAAACCAUAGGGUACUAACUUGAUACACUUUAAACCACAGGGUAUUAAAGUGAAAAAGUGCAAAACCACAGGAUACUAACUUGAUACACUUUAAACCACAUGGUACUAAAGUGAAAAAAAGUGAAACCACAAGAGGGGUAUUUGAACUUUUUUCAGAAAUAAUGAAAUAUAGUAAAUCAUUCAUCGUGUUCAAAUACAUUCGGGCUCGCGUGGUGCUAACGUAGCGAGGAUAGAGCAAAUUUUAUAAAUAUAAAUUUUAUGGGGCUAUUUGUAGAAUUUUUUUUUAAAAAAACUAAAUACAAAAAAAACCCAAAAAACCUCAAAAAUAAAUAAAAAAAAAGUUUUAGAAUGAUGAAGUGAAUUGUUAUUGGUGGGUCCAUUCAUUGAACGAAUUGGAUUGGAUUCUCUCUAAUGUUAGUGAAAAAAUAUAUCUAUUUACCUUCUGUGGGUACCGCCAGAGUUAGAUCAGAUUUACUGUAUCUAUUAUGAACAUCAUAAAAUUUCUGUAAAUAUUUAUUUUUUUAUUUUUUAUUUUUUUGACUUUUAAAAUUUUAUAUAUUUAUUGUUCUUUUGUCUGUAUUCUGUCACUAUUCCAUUCAUUUUUUAUAAAUAUCGUUGAAAAUGAUAGAAAUAAAUUAUUUUUUUUUUAAUGAAACAAGUAAGGUAAUUUAGGCCAACCCAAAUAUAAAAAGACCUGUAUUAAAUUAUAUUAUAUAUUAUCAUUAGGCCAUAAAAAUAUGCAAUAAUAAUAAUAAUAAUAAUAAAUAUUNAUAAUAAAAUAUUGCAUUUUUUAUGGCCUAAUGAUAAUAUAUAAUAAUAAUAAUAUUAUUAUUAUUAUUAUUAUUGCAUAUGUUUAUGGCCUAAUGAUAAUAAAUAUAUAAUAAUAUACGACUAUAUUAGCUUAACAAUGGCAUUUUCGAAAUAAUAACCAACUUUAAACACAUUUUUAUAACCUAAUUAAUAAUUAAGUAAUUAUUUAUUUAUUUAUUAUAUAUAAAUCCUAUCGUCAUCUCUUUACGACCCUUCGAGUCGUUCGACGACGCGUGCGAAACGUUUACGCCGUGCCCUAAAUCCUAAUAUUUUCCACAUUUUAAUUUUUUUUCUCAUUAUAUAUUAUAUAUAUAUCUCUCGAAUUCUCGACUAAAUCCCCAAACCGUAACCCUAGCCCCUUUCGAUCUCCGUUUCCACCAAUUCCUCCGCUGGUAAGGGUUGUUCUUUCGAUCAAUUUGGUUCCUACCUCGUUGUUUUGGAAUCCAAUUUGGUUCCCCCGUUGUUACCGAUUUUGUUUUGAAUUACGGUUUCGGUGAUUUGGGGCGAAAUCGAUCUCGAUCGCAUGGAAGCGGCCGCGGCUCUUCGAUCCCCAUUGUACCUAUCUCAAACCCCUAAUUUGGGGGCGAGAUCGCGUUUUCUCGCUUCGCCAAGGCCCAGUUCGCUCUCUUUCGAUCCCAAGUCCCGAUUCGCAAUUGGAUUCCUCAAGGUAUGGUUUAUAAAACCUUCCAUUUGAUCUUUUAUGUUGGUGGUUCAGUAAAAAGUUCCAAUUUGGUUUGGUUUGGCCUCUUGAAAGAGCCAAUUUGGUGUAGAUGAAGCUUUAGGAUUUGGUUUACGACACCUUUAAUCUCAUCUAUCUUGUUGAUGUUGCUGUAAAAUGUUUCAAUUUGGAUGCAAUUUUGGUGCAGUUUGGUUUGAUUUGGUCUCUCGAACGAGUCAAUUUGAUUAUAGAUGGACCCUUAGGAUUUGGUUUAUAAAACCUUCAAUCUGAUCUAAAGAGUUUCAGUUUUGACGCAAUUUUGGUGCAAUUUGAUUUGAUUUGGCCUCUCGACAGAGUCAAUUUGGUUCUAGGAGGAGCAUUAGGGUUAGGGCAUCGUCGGCUACCUCGUCAGGGUCUUCUUCUUCUUCUCCUAUAGCCCCUCUUCAAUUGGAGUCCCCGGUUGGGCAAUUCCUCUCCCAGAUCCUCAUUAGCCACCCCCACCUCCUCUUUGCGGCCGUGGAGCAGCAGCUGGAUCAGCUCCAAACUGACCGAGAGGCCGAGAAGAAAAAGGAGGAGCCGACCCCUUCCGGCAGCGAACUCGUUUUGUACAGGUAAUUAAUAAGCAAAAGGGUUAAUUGCAAAUAAACGGCCCGUUGGGCCCUGCUGUGGGGUGUAGUAGCGCUACUUGGGGAAGCACUAUUAGGAUAAGCAUUUUCUAUGGUAAAAUUAGAAGCUUUAGAUUGGAGCUUAUGCUUUCGGGCCUUAGAAUCACGUUUCUACUUUGAGGUCGAAAUUUGUUAUUAACCCAAAAGGAAACAAAAGCCAAUGAUUUUACGCUGUUUGAUUAGUAAUUUCAGGUUAGUGAAAAAAAUGACAUCUUUUUAAUGCUGGGAUUAAUAGGAGAAUCUCGGAGGUGAGAGCCAAGGAGAGGAGAAGGGCUUUGGAAGAGAUUCUUUAUGCAUUAGUAGUUCAAAAGUUUGUGGCGGCUGAUAUCUCGUUAGUCCCUGCCCUUUCCCAAUCAACCAAGCGUUCUCAAAGUGCCGAUCAAUGGCCUUUAGAGGAGGAAGAGAAGCUCGAGCAACUCCAUUCCCUCGAAUCGUACGAAAUGAUCAAGAACCAUUUAUCUCUAAUCUUAGGGCAACGGUUGGCCGACUCUAAUUCUGUCGCGCCAAUCAGCAAGCUUAGGGUCGGGCAAGUCUAUGCUGCUUCUGUGAUGUACGGCUAUUUCCUGAAAAGAGUCGACCAAAGGUUUCAGCUUGAGAAAUCGAUGAAGAACCUUCCAUGGGGAACAGACGAAGAGGAGAGCGCCAUUAAACGAGCUAUACGGGAUGAGUCCCGACCUGGGGGGCCGACCCCUUCUUGGUCCGGUGGGCCUGGCCAAGCAGGGAAAUCCAGCUUGUUGAGGUCUUACGUCAUGUCCUUCGAUCACGAGACUCUGCAGAGGUACGCAACGAUAAGGUCGAAGGAAUCCUUUAGCAUCAUUGAGAAGCAUACUGAGGCGCUAUUUGGGCGGCCCGAAAUCGUAAUCACGCCUCAAGGGACUAUCGAUACUUCUAAGGACGAGCUUAUUAAGGUAAGCUUUGCAGGGUUGAGAAGGCUGAUUUUGGAGGCUGUGACUUUCGGGUCAUUCCUCUGGGACGUGGAGAGCUACGUUGAUUCCAGGUACCGUUUUGUUACAAAUUAGCUGAGGUCAGAGAUCAGAUUUUGAGCAGCUGAGUAAUGGUUAUGUUGGUUUGAAGGUUUUCCGUCAUCUUUAAUUCAAGUUGCAAGGUAUAAAGGUUGUCUUCAGUGAUUGUUGACUGUUUCCCUUUGUACAUGUUGGUGAGGCUCUUUAAUGUUGUACAUAGCGAUUCUCUUAGUUUGACUGCUAGGACUCUCGCAGUUGCUAUUAAUCUCCGAGACAUUUCUUCUUUCAAUGUAAGUUGCAUUUUACAUUGUAAAUUUUGUUAUGCUGUUUAAUGCGCACUCUAGUAUCUCCACUUUGUAGGAGCUUCUUCAUAUCCCGACAAGAUUGACAGGUGUUUGUGCUUGAAAUCUGCAGUUCAUUAUUGCUUAUGACUUUGUUAAUCUGGCUGUAAAAUGCUAUCAUGGGUUUGAAAGCCAAUACAUUUAUGUUUGCCCCUCACAUUACCAUGAACCACAUUGAUUAUCAUAUUGAGAUAGUUGAUCAUUUUGAAACUCGACCGUUUUCCUCUCAAUUGGUCAUGGAUAGCAUUACUAGGAAGUCUAUUUUUUCUACCGACUUGAUCAUGGAUCGCUUACGCUGUGGAGGGAAAAGAAAAAAAUAUCAUAUCAUUGACACACUGGUGGUAUAUAGAAGUCUAAACACAAAUUCAUUAGGCGAAAUGCAAUUAUUUUUUAAUGUUAUGGUUUGGUCAUCUAUGGUGAUACUGAUAUUUGAUUUGUUAACCAUUCAAUAAAAUACCGUCAGUAUCAAAUACCAAGAAAGUAUGUUAGCAAGUCUCCUGAAAUGCAGUUGAUAAGAUAGCAUUCCCACGUAUCAGUAUAUAGGUGUUUCACCUUUUUCAAUUCAAUGCUCGACUCAUCUGCCAUGUUAAAAAAUCCGAAUCAUCAGCUGCAUUUGAGGGGAUACUCAAGGGCACCCAGUGCAUUAUGCUAAUAAAUUUACAGAGAAACCUGUGGAUCAAAGGAAAUAUAUAUAGGAUGAUAGGAAGUGUUUAGUUGGUUUUUAGAAUCCAUGCAUUGUAAAUUAUUACCAUCUCUAAAUGGCUUUGCAUCUUAAGAGUUGAAGGCUUAAGGCUUCAUUUGUAUAUGAUUACUUGAUUCAUGCCUUAAUAUAUAUUGCAAUACUAAGCCGCACAUGUAAAGAUGCACUAUUCCAAUGAUAGAUCAUGACAUAUGUUUGGCCAACUUAGACUCUCACUUCUUAGGUAAUCUUAGGCGAUUUCUGCGUUUGCAGGUAUGUGACAUGACCUGUUGUUUCUUUAUCCAUUUUGAAGUUGUUGUUGUUUUCGAUAUUGUAGAUUCCGCAAAUCCUCUUAUAUGCGACUGUUCUUUCUUAUGUUUAUCUAUCUUGGAUUCAUGUUUUUUUUUCCUUCGCAUGUUUUUGAUGUUCUUCUCCUGCUAUUUGACUGUUAUCUGUGGUUCUUGAAAAGCAGUUGACGAAGCGAGGCGUAAGUAGCAAACAUCUUUUAUAUUUGUUGCAGAAAGCGAAACGCCGUAGCAGUAAAACUUGUAUGUAAAAUUUUUCUUAGUUGACCUAACAAUGGAUUUUACUACUAGUCGAUUACUUGCCAUUUACAUUGAGUGUAUUAUCAUCUAGUUCAACUCGUUGUGCAUCAUCUUAGGUGUUAUUCUCCAACUUAGGUGUAUGUGUACCGACCCAACCUGCUAGCAGUAAUAAUUUGUUGGAUUCAAACUACAGAUCCAAAAAUUCUUGAGUCCCUGUUAGUCCCUUAUAAUAACUCAUUAUCUGAUAUGAGACUGUUGAGGUGUCACAUACUCCUUCUGUUUAGGUCGUAACGUUUUCGUCAGUCUGGUUUCAAUCACACACACAGCUUAAGAUUCACUAGGCGAGAUGUGAGACCAAUUUCACUCUUUCGAGUGAUAAUCUGGCUUUGAUACCAACUGUAAUAUCCUGGCCCUACUAAUACUAAUAACUCGUUAGACCCAAAUCAUUGGUCCAAAAUACUUAAUCCAAUUAUUAUUAUUAGGAUCUAUGAUCUUUUAUAUAAACCAUUGUUUAACCUAUGAGUCAUUAAUGCUAGCAUCCUUUGGUAUCUAUACAUGGACUUUAGAGAGUGUGAUAAAAAUUUAAUUAUUAAUGAUUGCUUAAUGAGAAAGCAGUGCCCUUCUGAAUCACUUCUUGAUCACCCCUUUUUUUUUUUUUUUUUUACUUUUUAAAAGUGAGGAACUUUUCUUUUUAAAUUGCUGUAGCAUUUGUCUAAGCCUUCUAAAUCUUUUAAUUAGGGUAAAUUGCACUUUUGGUCCUCAAACUAUGAGGUGGGUGGCACUUUGAUCCUCAAACUUUAAUUUGUUGAAAUUUCUGGUUCAAAUUUUCAGAAUCGUUGUAAUUAAGUCCUAUAACUCAAUUUAGUUAAUUAAAUAUUAAUGCAUCGUUAAUGUUGAGUAAUGUAGCAAUACUAUGAUUAAGGAUGAGCCGACCAUUAAGAUGCUAUAUUACUUUUGCUUUAUAUUAGUGAUGAGUCAAUAUUUAGUCAGUUAAAUUAAGUUGUGGAACUCGAUUGCAACUAUUCUGGACGUUCUUGUUAGGAAUUAUAAUAAAUUAAAAUUUGAGAACUAAAGUAUCGCCGAUCUCAUAGUUUGAGGACUAACAUGCAAUUUACCCUUUUAACUAUGGUGAGAAACUUUUUCAUUUUGUGAAGUUAUUUGGAAAGCCAUUGGUAAUAAUUAUUUUCCUUUGCACACGUAUCCUUACAAAUAUACAAAAUUAUUUAUGGAUCCUUGAAAAGUUGGUAUUCGCAUGCAUGUCUGUAGUCGUGUUUACAAAAUGGUUUUCGGUUUGGUUCGGUUUUGAAAAUAGCUAAAAUUCGGUUCCGGUUCCGGUUCAGUUUUAGUAUAUUCCUUGAACGAACCGAACUGAACUAAAAAUGGAAUAGUAAUAUUGUAUACAUUUUUUAUUUUUUAAAAAACUUCAAAUACCACCCGUGAUUUCGCACUUUUUCACUUUAGUAUCACGUGGUUUAAAGCAUAUCAAUUUAAUACCCUGUGGUUUCAUUUUUUUUCUUUUCGUUAGCCUCUUCGUUAACUUUUCGUUAAAUCAUAUAUGAAAAACUACAGAUACUCCAUUUAUAGUUUAUCGAAUAUUCACUUUAAUAUUCUUUAGUUUUAACUUUGUCACUAAUUUAACGAAAAAAAUUAGUGGAUGGAGUAACAAAAAGAGAAAAAUAAAAUCACAAGAUACGAAAGUGAUACAUUUUAAACCAUGGGAUACUAAAAUGAGAAAAUGUGAAAUCAUAGGGGUGGUAUUUGAAGUUUCCCUUUUUUUUUAUUAUUAUACUUAUUUAAUGGUAAAUUUUUAUGGUAAAAUAAAAUUAAGUCACUCCAAGGAUAAUUAAAAGUUUUUUCAAAAGAAAAAAAAAAGUAAGAAAAAAUUGAUGGGCCCCACAUUGAGGGGGAUUCGCCAAGCCCCAAAAAAAACGUCGUGGGACCCACCACGAGCGAAAGUAUCGUGGCCCCACAUCACGAGACCUCUGUGUGUGUUGCUGUGUAGGUCAUAAUUUGGGUCCCAUUUUCGGUCCCUUUUUUACUUCGGUGUCUCCUCUCCCUUUUUGCGACCUUAUCCAAUUCAAAACAAAGAUUCACUAAUCACACAAUGACUUUUUCAUUUUAUUUUGUUUGGAUUCUUUUUUUUGGAUAUUCGGAUCCGAAAACCCGGAUCCGAUAUCUUCCCAGAGCCUGAUGUUGCUGUUUCGUUCUACUUUCCCAAAAUGCACCACUACCCUUUAAAUAUUUUUUAAAAAAAAUUAUUUUAAAUUUACAUUUUAUGAUUCUUUGUAUAAAAUCCUAAGUUGGGCUGAGUCACAAUCGAAACCAGCGGAUACUGUAUCUGUAUUUCUGUUCGCUUUAAGGAGCCAUUUGGUUAGAUAUAAUUAUAAAUACAAUAUAGUUGGGGAUGCAGUAAUUAUAACUAUAUAUAUUUUGUUUGGUUAGAUGCAGUAGAAAAUACUGUGAUUAUAAAUAAUUUAUUUGGUUAUAUUUAGUUGAGAAGCGCGUUUGUAAAAUUUUAUCAGGAGAUGAGAUUACCUCCAACAUAGAAAUUGAAAAUUUAUUUUUAUUCAAACAUUAAUUAGAUAGGUAAACUCAUCUUGUGUUUACAGUUUUACUCUCUUCAACUAUUAAAAUUUGAGUGUAGUUUCAACUACGGUAUUUGAACCUCCUUAUGCAGUUCUAGCUACAGUUUUUGGAUUCGAAUGUAUCAAACUAAACGUCAGAUUUACAUUUGGAUAUAGUUAUAACUGUAAUAUACAACCAAUAACCCCUAAAGUGAAUUAGUUGCAUAUUUUUAAUAGCUCGAGUUUUUUGAAUUGUGAUUGGCAUCGACAAUCUAACACAAAAGUUCAACUAGAGAUGUCAACGGGUCGGAUUCGGGGCAGAUUUUUGAAGGUCCGAACCCGAACCCGACUCCAAACCCGAGACCUGAACCCGAACCCGAACCCGAUCCCGACGGAUUUUAAAAAUCCAUACCCAAACCCGAACCCGACCAAAAAUCCGAAACCCGAACCCGAACCCGAACCCGAAAAUUUGAACCUGUAACAAUUAUUUCUUUUUUCAACAUUUCAAAAUAUAUUAUAUUAAAUCUAAAUUUUUAAAAUACAAAUUCAAAUAUAACAUCAAAUAUAUAUAUAUAUAUAUAUAUAUAUAUAUAUAAUACAAAAUAAAUUCGGGUUCGGGUCGGGUACAAUCAAAAUUCAUAUCCGAAUUCAUAUCCGUCGGGUUUCUAUUUUUGAUAUCCAUAUCCGAAUCCAUAUCCAUCGGAUAUAUCCGUUUCAUUCGGGUUCGGAUUCGGAUAAAAUUUCGGGUAUCCAUACCCAUUGACAUCCCUAAGUUCAACCUAUACAAAAAUGACAAUAACCCUCUCAAUUAUCCCCAUUUGAAAUUCUAUAUAUAGAGAUGGUGGAAUUGCUAAUUCCCAUGAAUAUUUCAUUAUCCUAACAAUUCCCACUAUUUUUAGCCAAAUAUUGCUUGAAAAUAACAUAUAUUUCAUUGCUAUCUUCACAAUACAUAUCUCUAUCGUUUCAUCAAUUAAAUUGUGUGACUAACAGCGUUGAUUUUAUUAUUUUUUUUAAAGAAAACAUUAAAUCUACCACUAUUUUUGUUUGAAUUUAAUAAAAUUCAAUAAAUUUGAUACGCCCUCGUAAUAAAAGUGGCUAUGUUAAUAUCGCUUAUUCAUCAAUAUUAUAGAAUAUUCAACAAAGUUUGUAUAGGAAGGAGCUUCAAUUAUGAAGACAUUAAUUAAUUACAUUAUAUCACACCAUUUCAUAGCUCAAAAGAUAAAAGUGUGUGUUGCUUUUUAGUUGGCAUGACAAGUCCUAGCAAAUGCCCAAUGCUUUUUUUUUUUAUAUUUUAUAAAUUAGCACAAGUGAUUAUAUUUAAUUGAUAAAAAAUAUAAAUUACAAGCAGAUAAGUAUAACUAUAACAAAGUAUAGUGAAUAAAAAUAAUUAUUAAAUAAUGAUGAAAAUUCAAUAGUUUUUUUUUCAAUAAUUCCAUUAGUAAAUCCUAGAGCACCGUUUGGUUUGGGAAUAGGGAUAGGGAUAGGCCCUUAUCCCCCCCCUUAUCCCCCCUUUAUAUCCAAACGCUAAUUUUUUACCCGAGAAUAGUAGUUCUCGGUUAUCCCCACCAACACCUCCAUUUUCUAUAUAAAACUUUCUAAUAUUUUUCUUAUCCUCGGGAACAACCCAAUUUUCAUCCAAACGCUAUUUUUCUUAUCCCCAUACUUGUACCUAUCCCUGUAAUAGCUAGUUCUUGCUUAUACCCGAACCAAACGGUACUUAGGAAUUUACUAAUGGGAUUAUUCACUAUACAAUGUUUCAAUAAAGUAUAGUGAAUAAAAAUAAUUAUUAAAUAAUGAUGAAAAUACAAAAGUUUUUUUCUUUAGAAAAAGAAAGAAAGAAAAGGUAGUGGAUAAUGACAAAUAAAAAGAGUGUCAAAGUACAGUGCUAUUAAUUCCACCUUUUUUUUUCACUUUUUAAUCCCAAGCAAAGUUUAUCAUAAUCAUUAUUUCAUUUUCUUUUGAGUGGAUUGAACCAUCAUUUUUUUUUCUUUUUUUUUUUAAAAAAAAAAAUAGCACGCUAACCGCUUCAUUCAUUCAGAAGACGAACUAAGCUAUAAAGGUGAGGCAUCACUGGCCUCGGUUGUGGCAAAACGAAACGGCGAAAAAAAAAAUUAGCGAUUACAUUGAUGUCUCUCCCCUGAGUGAAGUUUCUCUCACUGGUUCAUCAGCUAUUUAAUCUUGUUGACACCUGCACAUGGGUCAGUCUAGGUCAUCCAAAAGAUCACACAAUUUUUGAUAUUCUAAAUAACCCACCAGCAUACUGUUAGUCCAAUAAAAUCAAUACUUGAGUGGAUUGAAUUUGAAACUAGCGUUUCUCAAACACUAUUCCCUAGUCCUAAAACUCCACAUAGGAUAACUCAUCAUAUCCAUGCAUUAAUUGCUCCUAUUUAUGGAGGGUCCAAUAACUCACAAUGCCAAUUGCAUGCCUCAAAUUCAACUUUGCAUUGCUCAUAGAUGGACCUUACUACUUACUACUCAAAAAAGGCAACUUAAAGAGAUCAGUAUUCUGUCUUAUAAAAAUAAAAAAUUAACAGGUGGGAAGUUUUUCAAUAACGUUUUGUUAGAGAGCUCCAGUUCAUUAUCGCGUAUCAGUGUUGUCUCUAUCCGAAAGCUACAAUCCUUCCUUCAAGAGUUUGAAUAUUUUUUUAAAAAAAUUAGUAUUUAAAAAUUCCUCAAAGAACUAUUGGAAUGAGACAAAACUAAUAUGUAGGAGCAGAUCGGGGGGCUCUUCAUUGAUGCCUUAUGCUAGGGAGCUCCCAACUGAAGUUUUAUCUCCUCUUGUGAAAAAAUUUGAGUAGGGAGCACCCCAACGACGCCAUGUUGGAAAGUCCCAAUCCAUCGCCACAUGCCACUUUUAUCUUUAUCCAAGAACUUUAAUCCUUAUCUCUAGAGUUUAAAUAUAUUUUUAGAUUUUAAUAUUAAAAAAUAUCCAACGAAUCAUUGAAGGGGAGUAAAAUUAACAUAUAAUAGCAAAUCAAGGGUUUUUUAACAAGGUGUCGUUAGAGAGCUGCUCACUCACGUUUUAUUUUACUACUAGCAGGAGAUCGGGUUGGGCAGAAUCACGUUUGAAAUGGCGGGAGACCGAGUUAGGCUUAAUCAUGUUCAGAGUGGCGGAAAGUCGGGUUAGAUCGAGUUACGAUUGAGAGCGUGGAUGAUGUAUCCUUACCCUUUAAAUAAAUUAGUUAGUUGCGUCCUUCUAACAGUUUGAACUUUUGAAAUUAAUAAUUAGCGUCAUCGAUCCUACACUUAUGACAUGAAUUGGCCAUUUUAGAAUAAGUGCCAAAGUAUGAUUUAAACAAAAGUUUAUGGGACGAUCCCUAAUAUAAGACUGUUUCAUUAGCCGUUAAUCAUAUAAAUGUUACGAAUCUCAAAAUUACAUGGACGAUAGAUAGAACAGUCUCAUAUCGAGGAUUGUUCCUAAGAAUUUAUUUGUUUCUUUUCCUUGUAAUUCUAUAUUUAAGCACUAAAAUUGAGGCAAAUUAGUUGCCCUUCAUUGUUUUGAGUAAAGUUAAUUAAUAGCCCUUUGGGCAACAAUAGGUGCACCAUCUCACCCCAUGCAUUGUCCACUAAUCACUCUCUAUAGCUUCUCACAAUUCAUAUUCAAUUUGUUUUUAUUUAAAGGGAAAAAAAAAACCUUAAUAAAAAUUAAUAAAUUUUUUAUGCAAAAAAAAAGUUACAAGCAACUAAUUGGAAAAAAAAAAUAAAAGUAAACUUCAAAUAUCACCCAUAUAGUUUUAUAUUUUUUUCACUUUAGUACCAUAUGUUUGAAGUGUAUCAAUUUAGUACCAUGUGGUUUUAUUUUUUUCUUUUUGUCAGUCUAUUCGUUAACUUUUCGUUAAAUCAUAUACAAAAAAGUUGAGAUACUCCACCUAUAGUUUAUCGAAUAUUUAUUUUAGUACCCUUUAGUUUUAACUUUGUCACUAAUUUAACAAAAAAAAUUAGUGAAUGAAUUAAUUAAAAAAAAAUUAUAGGGUAGAAAAAUAAUACAUUUUAAAUCAUAUGUUACUAAAAUGAGAAAAUACAAAAUCACAUAGGGUGGUAUUUGAAGUUUAAAAAAAAAAACAAAAAAACAGAAAAUCACGCGGGCACAGUUACCGAGGCGGAUCAGCCACCGCCCAGCCGGCCAGCCCGUGACGCGCGGGCCCCACGGCGCCGGUCCAGAGGAUCAGGUCCGUCCGUACCACGUCAGCGGCUACAACAACAGAAGGAGACGCAAUUCAAAUUCAGAACAUUGGGGAAAUAUACAUUGUGGCAAAAAUAAAAAAAAAAAGAGGAAAAAAACGCUCGAGAAAUCGCGCACCGUCCGAUCUCCAUCAGACGGACGUCAGUUUCGGGUGGGGGGCCCGCCGACACCCGCUGCUGCCAUUUUGACCGUUGCCGCGAUCCGCCGUGCGUGUGGGCCGCUUCCCUAUUGGCUGGUGGGCUCGCGCGGGGCCCACCUGCUCAAACGGCUAGUCUUAUGACUCUUAUCCGACGUGGCAGAACCGAUCGGCUGCCACGUGGCAUUAAGUGGCCCCCGCACGGGUGCGGUUCCCCGAGACACGUUUGGUGGCCACGAAAAGCUUUUUUAAAAUUUUAAUUUUGGUAUUUAAUUUUUUUAAUUUUUUUAAUUUAAGUAGGGGUGGAAACGAGCCGAGCUCGAGCGAGCUUAGCUCAGCUCAAGCUUGGCUUGAAAUUAAUUUCGAGCCUAAAUUUAGGCUCAAGCUCGGCUUGAAAUUAAUUCGAGCCGAGCUCGAGCGAGCCUAAUUUCGAGUCGAGCGAGCUCGAGCCCUAAACGAGCUGCUUGAAAUUCUUAACAUCGUACAAUCUAUAGUUUAAUUUUUAUAAAAAUAUUAUCUAAAAUUUGAUACAAAAAAUGUCUAAUAGCUCAACAUACAAAAUGAAUGCAUGAAAUAUGAUAUUAUAAUAUUAAAAAAAAUCAGGGAAAACAACUCUGAGCGAGUGAAAAAGAGAGAGAGAGCAAUUAAAAUAGGAUUUUAUUGGUUUGAUUUUAUGGGUCCUAUAAUCUAAAUUCUAUAUAGAUACAAUUAAAAUACAUAAUAUAAAUUUAUAUAAUUAAAAUAUAUAUUAUAUAUAAUUAUAUAGAGAGAGAGUUCGGCUACUAUACUCUAUUAGUAUAGAUCUCUUUACACUCAUAAGUUUUUUAUCGUCAAAUAUAUACUUUUGACCAUUUCCAACCGUAAAUCAUACUAUUCAACCAACCACCCACUCAAUCCUAGGGGAUCACUANAUAUAUAUAUAAUUAGGUUACAAUAUUAUUAAUAGUAUCAACUACUUGCUAUUAGGUUUUCGGCCCUUAGAUGAAGGGAUGUGUGGUCAGGAUGAUAGUAGCCCCUAGGAUUGAGAAGGUGGAUAAUUGAAUAGUAUGAUUUAACGGAUGAAAAUGACCAAAGGGGUAGAUCUAACGGCAGAAAACUCGAUAGCAUCAAAUACUUGGUAUUAUCGAUAGUAUAGUAGCCGGACUCUAUAUUUAUAGGUAGGUCUAACAGCAGAAAACUCGAUAGCACAAAACAAUUGGUACUAUAGAUAGUAUAAUAGCCGGACUAUAUAUAUAGAGAGAGAGUCCGGCUACAAUAUUAUCGAUAAUACCAAAUGCUUAGUGCUGUCGAAUUUUUUGCCGUUAGAUCUAUCCGUUUGACCAGUUUCACUCAAUAGAUCAUACUAUUCAACUAACCACCUACUCAACUCUAGGGAAUCACUAUCAUCCUAACCGCACAUCCCUUCAUCCAAGGCCGAAAACCUAAUAGUAAAUGGUUGGUACUAUUAAUAAUAUAGUAGACUUUAUAUAUAUAUAUAUAUAUAUUUCGAGCUUUUCGAGCCUAAUUCGAGCGAGCCCGGUAAUACUCAAGCUUGGCUUGAAAUUAAUUUCGAGCCUAAAUUUAGGCUCAAGCUCGACUUGAAAUUAAUUCGAGUCGAGCUCGAGCGAGCCGAAUAUCGAGCCGAACGCGAGUCGAACACGAGCCGGCUCGCUCAUUUGCCAGCCCUAAAUUUAAGUGAUUUAGUAAUUUUUUAAAAUAUUUUUAAAUAUAAAAUAUAAAUAAUUGCUUAUUUUUAUAAAUUUAUAGUUACAUAAAUUAUAUAAAACUACUAAUUCAAAUUUUGAGAUUAAAGAGUCACUAAUUUUUAAAAGUUACGUAGUAUAGUCUGAUUCCAAUGUUUGUUUAGAAUUAAUGAAAAAAAAUAAAAAAAAUAAUUUAAUUAUAGCUAGAAUCUAAUAUAUGAUCCAAUAAAUAAAAAAUGAUUUAAGAUAAAAUAUAUUUUUGUGUAUCUAAAAACUUUUUCCAGAUUUAUUAUUAUUAUUAUUAUUAUUAUUAUUAUUAAUUGGGAUUUUGCAAAUGAGUACUUUUGCUUUCUAGAAAGAAGAGAAUAUAAUAAUAAACAUAAAAAAAAUGGCCAGCUCAUUGGCCAGCUCAGCACAUAGAUAAAAGUUGGUUAGUGCAUGAAAAAUGAGUCCCCUUUUGGAGUAGGGUUUGGUACAAAUAUGUAAUGUUGGAUUUAAAAAAAAAAAAAAAAUUUAUGGAUCCCAUUUGCGCUAACUGAAAUUCUAAAAGCUCGAGCUGAUACAGCAAAAAUAAUCAUUUUACUUAAAAUGUACAGAGACAGCGAUGACAAAUUCUCAAUUGUGCAUUAACUCAAUUUAACUUCAGACACGCAGAUAGAAUGUUAGAUACCGUGUAAGAAUAUUAUAUAAAAUUGAGUGUAAAUUGGUCCGUAAGUAUUUAUUGUUAAAUAGCGUAUCAUCCUAUUUUUUUUCCAAAAUUUAUUAUGUUGAUUUUUUCAGUGAAAUAAAAUAAAAAGAAAACUCCCCCUCACUUCUCUCAAACCCAAUUAAACCUCUCUCUCUCUCUCUCUCUCUCUCUCUCUCUCUAGAAAACAGAGCACUCCUCCAUGAAGAGUAUAUAAUAAGAAAACAGAGCAAAAACAGAGCAUAGUUGUAGCAAAUAACACAAACAGGGGAGGGAUCAAAAAAUGGCUCCUUUUUCUUCUUGUCCUCCUCUCUUCUUCCUCUUCCUCUACUUUGGAGCUUCACUCACCCCCAUUAAUGGCGAGCCCAUCCCCUCCCUCCCCACCCUCACCCCACUCUCCUUCCACGACGCCUACACGCAGCUCUUCGGCGACUCCAACCUCGCCCUCCGCCGCGGCGGCAGGAGAGUCCACAUCGCCCUCGACCGAAGAACCGGUCCAUUAACCCCUCCCCUUCUCUCUCUCUCUCUCUCUGAUUCCAUUGGAUUGGUUUAUGAUUGCACUAAAAUUGGGCUCUUUGGAGAUAAACUCAGGUGCCGGAUUCGCCUCGCGGCGCCUCUAUCUCCACGGCUUCUUCAGCGCCGCCAUUAAGCUCCCUUCGGAUCACGCCGCCGGUGUCGUCGUCGCUUUCUAUGUAAAAACCCCAUUUUUAUCAUGAAAAUUUUGGAAUUACUCCGAAAAGUUUGGAUUUUUAGCUUGUGUUUUUCCCUCUGUUUCUCGCCGCCAAUUCAAAGUUCAUAGCUUUUGAUUCUUUUUAUCUUCUGUUGUUCAAAUUUCGAAUUGUAGGAUUAUGAGCUUUGGAUGUUGAGAUUUCCCUCUUAAUCAACAUAUUCAAAUCUAAAUUUAAAUAAAAUUCCAAAUGUAUCCAAUUCCAAUUUCAACAUAUUCUUUUUUAUUAUUUUAUUUUAUUUAACAUGUGAAUACUCCACUAAACACAUCAAACUGUAAAACCAAACAAAACAAAACACCAAAAAAAACAUUUUUUUUCAAGCAAUUCAAGGGAAAAAAAGAGUGAGAGAGAGAGAGAGAGAGAGAAACUUACAAUUGAGGAUGAUGAAAAGCUUGUGGUGGAUGCUGCUGCUGCUGCUGCUGCGCAGAUGUCGAACGGAGACGUGUUCGAGAAGACGCACGACGAGCUGGACUUCGAGUUCUUGGGCAACAUCAGGGGGAGGGAAUGGCGGGUGCAGACGAAUGUUUACGGCAACGGGAGCACGUCGAUCGGGCGCGAGGAGAGGUACAGCCUCUGGUUUGAUCCCACAGAGGAUUUCCAUCAGUAUGCCAUACUGUGGAGCAGCAGCAGAAUCAUGUAAGUGCUGCUACUUCUGCUGCUACUUCUGCUACUCUGACCAUUUUCUUACUGCUGAAUCAUCUCUUUUCUAUGCUUCAGUUGUAUGAUUUGUAGUUUUAAAUUCGCGGUUUCGGUGAAAUUUGAUGGCCAGUAACUGACAAUGCUGUUGAAGUUUAAGGAAGUUUCCAAUUCUAGAGAGGAAAUUAUAACCCAAACCAAAUUUCAUGUGGUGGUAGCAAGUUUCAGCAAAUGGUCAAAUUAAGUAAAUUCAGAUGUAGAAAUGCAUGAGAAUGCACCUGACUAUAUUCAUGCUUAAGAAUCUAGUCUUCUAGAAACAGAUGGAUCAGAACAUCUCGUAACGCCCUAAUAGUCCCACAUCGGAUGAAAAAAUGAUUCUAAUUGGUAUAUAUAUAUCUAUGCUAAUAACAAUAACCGGACUUUAAGCAUUUUGGGCCGGUGGUUUAACUCUAAUAAAUUAUCAUUGCUAGCGGGUUGGAUCAUUACAAUUAGUAUCAGAGCUGAAUAUCGGCCUCUCCGUUGGUAGGAUCACCUGUAGGAGUCACUUCUUAAACCCGUAUGAGUCACCUCUAGAAUCUCAAUUUCUGGUCACUCGUAGAAGCCACCUCUAGAAUCUCACAUCAGUAAGCAUGCAUUUUGGGUUGAUGGUUUGAACCCAACGAGUUAUUAUUGCUAGCGGGUCGGAUCGUUAUACAUCUUUUCUCCUUUACUUCCUAUAAGCCAUAUUCUCUUUAUGUUAUGUUAUGUUAUGUGGAUUAUUAUGAACAAUUCCAUCUUUAUGAAUUAUUUUCCGUGUGCUUACUUAGUUGUAAAAAAUAAAAUUUCGGAAAACUAUUUUUACAAAUUUUCAGCUGAAAUUAAAAACUCAAGCUGCCAAAACUUUUUUCUUUCUUUUUCUUCUACCGAACUAAAUAAAUGUGAAAAUUUCUCCUUUCAACCACAUAAAUAUUAAUAUAAAACUAUUUUUUUCUUUCCUUUUUUCACUACAAAACGUAAAACUUUUUUCCCACCAAAUUUUUUUUUCUACAAAAAAAACUUUUUUCACGGUUUUCUACUAAAACUACUAUUUUUUUUUUUCUACGGAAAACUAUGAAUCUCUUAUUGUUGUUUUGUCGUUACUUUNUUUUUUUUUUUUUUUUGAGAGAGAUAGGUAGCAUGCGACCUGUUUCGUUUAUUUCAUUUAGAAACACCAUUACUAUUACUAAGGGUGUUUUUUAUUGGUCAUAAACUAUACCGAAAAUUACUUUUCGGCUCGAAAUUUUUUUUUUCAUGUGUUAGUUUAACCCUAAAAAAAGUUUUAGAAAAUUAUUUUUAGGGUUAAACAAAAAUUUUUAGAAAAUUAUUUUUACAGAUUUGAGGAAAAUGGAGUGUUUGCAUUUUCGCCAAUUUUUCGACAAAAAAAAAAAAACUCAAGCUACGCAAAUUUUUUUUCAUUUAUUUUUUUUUUUUCACCGAACCAAAUGAAUGUGAAUUCUUCUCCUUUCAAUCAAACAAGUAUUAAUAAAAAAAAAUACCCCCUUUUUUUUCCCUUUUCACACUACAAAACUUUUUUUUUUUCUACGAAAAAUUAUUUUUCAUGAUUUUACGUACAACCAAACGUGGCUUUACUAAGUUGAGACAUGCUAAAUUGAGUUUCACUCUUUUGAGCAGAUUUUACAUUGAUGGCAUUCCAAUUAGGGAGGUGGUGAGGCCUCAAGCCAUUGAUGGGCUUGGGCAAUUUCCAUCCAAGCCCAUGUCACUCUAUGCCACCAUAUGGGAUGGGUCAAGUUGGGCCACAUCGGGCGGGCGCUACAAGGUAAAUUACAAAUACGCCCCUUACGUGGCCGAAUUCACCGACCUCGUCCUUCGCGGUUGCGCUACCGACCUAACGACUCACCAGCCGACCUGUCGCCAGGCCGACAUUGAUAUGUACGACACUGUCAGUUUGUCGGUCGAGCAACGGUUGGCCAUGGAUGACUUCCGCGAGAAGCAUAUGACUUACGGUUACUGCUAUGAUCGCCUGCGAUACACUAAUCCUCCGGCAGAGUGCUCAACAGGCCGUGAGGCCGACCUUUUCCUGGAGUCGGGGGAAGCCCGGGGGUUCUCCGACCGCCGCCGUCACCGCUAUGCAAAGCGUCAUUACCGGACGGCGUUAGAUGACGCAUUUUGAUUUGAACUUCAUUUAGUUGUGAAAAGAAAAAGUCUUAGGCUAUUGGGAAAAGGGGAUUAUUUUGUGUUUAUAGAGAGAGAUGGUAUUCAUCUUUUCUUCAUCAUAGAUUUCUUAUUCCUCUAACAUGUUGGGAGGAAACUUAUGAAUAGCAAAUGAAUAAACAAGGUGAUAUGAUUUUUCCUGGGGCCAUGACUUUUUGAAAAGAGGAGAGAGAAAGAGAGGGAGUGAGUUUGAAAAAAUUGUUGGUAACUAAGUCUACAUAAAGUAAGCCAUUCACCACAUUUCUACAUAAAAUAUUAGUUCUCGAAGUUCAAACUACGCAGAUGUAUACUACUAAAUGGUUCACUGCUUUUACGAGCACCCUCAAAUAGUUUUAAUGUUUUGAAUAAAAUGGUAAACGAUUUGUCGCAUUUAGAAAGCAGUGAUUCAUCUGUGUCUCAUAAUAUUUAGGCCUAAUUCUAUAAAUAAGCUUUUCGAGGGAUUAUUGUUACAAUUAUAAUAAUAGGUCUGAGUUUGGUGCCUCUAGGGUUUGGUUUGGGCAAUUAUGUCAUUCCCUUUUUUGGCCAAUGAGGAGGUUGUUCUCCUUGCCUUCUUGUUUCACACAAAAUGGUAAGAUUCCUAUGAGGUCUCAACUCAAGAAUAGGACCAAGUAACAUGCAAAAGGACAUGAAUAUGUGACUUUCUCUCUCCUAACAAGUGAGAGGAGACCACUAAGAGAGAGAGAGAGAGUGUGUGUGUAAUAUUGAGAUGCAAAAAAAAAAAAAAAGUACAUAGCUGAAUAAAUCCAAAGAAAACAUCUUGUGAGAAUAAUCAACAUAUAGCACCAAAAAAAGCAGUUGGUAAAAAUCUUAAAAGUUAAAAUUUAAGCUAAUUGUUUAUUUUAAUAAAUUUAUAUUUACACAAAUCGCAUAAAUUACCUUAGUAGCUUAAUCAAAUAAAUUAAAAGGUUAGAUAGCAAAAUCAAAAUUUUUAAAGAUUUAGUAGUCGGAUCAAAAUAGGUGAUAGUUGAGGUAAGUUGUGUAAUUUUGUUUCACCCGGAAUUUAAGACGGUGUCCGGUUUUAUGUACAUGAGUUUCUUUUUUUUUCACACAAACUGAAAACAUUCAGAUAUCAAACAGUAAAUUCAUGGAAAGCAAUCAGAGAAUCUAAAUUACAGAUCAAACAGUAAAAAACAAAAAAGGAAGAAGGGUUUAUGAAACAAUUGCGAAAAUUAAUGUACAAAAAAAGCAAUAGAUUGAGGAACAUUAUUUGAUACAAGGAUGUGUGUAUUAAACCAAUAUCAGCUAAGAAACGCGUAGUUUCAUUUCAUUUCAUGUCUUGUACGGAACUCGGUUUUUUGGCUACUUUUAUGAACAAAAUAACUAGUAUAUACUUACGGUAAGAUCAAAUCGCACAAAUUUAUUAAUCUAGCAUCAAUCAAGUGGUUCCUUUUUCAAUUUGACUAAUAGGAGAGAGGGAUUUUGAACUUAUCGUCGAUAAUUUGCCUUGUUGUAGUCCUACUCUGAAUCAAAUUUGAUUUGAGUCUUCUGGAAUGGAGCUGGAGCCUUCGAGAUCUUCGAUAAGCUUGAUGAAGUUUUGAACCAUUGUUUUUCCUUCCGGCGUUAUGAUGCUUUCCGGAUGAAACUGCACUCCCUGCAACUCAAAGAAUCAAACAGGCAAAUUUAUAAAAUAAAUUUAUGAUCAGAGCAAGAGAAGAUUAGGCUGAUGUUUUCUUAGUGAGUUGAUGCGAAUCGUCAAAAUUACGCAUUUACGUGAUAUGACAGAUAUUCCAACUUAGCAAUUCAUCAAUCUUUAAUGAGUGAAAUUUACAACUACCUAUUAGCCAAUUCAGAUUCUUGAGAACAUGUGUGAGAGCGUGAAAGUCGGUUUCGUAUAGCAGGAAAGAGGUGCGUUUGAGAUGUUAAAUUUUUUAAGUUUCAUACUUGAUGAAGAUAGAAACACAACCACAAUAACAGACAGCUGAAACAAGGAAAAGAAGUUACCAGACCUGGAUAUGCCUGUACUUCUUGUGUCGGGCAGCCAUAACUAGCCCAUCUUCCGUCCACGCGACAACCUCUAGAGAGUCACUCGGAAAACUGUCCUUCUCAAUCACAAGGCUAUGAUAUCUUCCAGCCUGAAAUGGACUGGACAAAGAGACGGCAGGAGAAAAUGCCUUUAUAAGUGAUAAUUAUCACAUCGGCACAAAGUAUCACAAAAGAAGCCAUAGUUCCGUUAAAUGCAUAAGCUUAGAGUCGAAUCAUAGGGUUAGCUCUAACAAGUGAUAUACAUGCUAAAAUUAUCUUGAUGUUAUUAUGUCUGUUGCACUGAUAAUCCGUGAUGUUAUCAGUAUAUCUAUUCAGAUUAUUUUGCAAAUAGUAUUCUGUAAAGAGAUUGGCCAUAUGGAACAAGAGAUUUCAGCAUUUAAAAAUAUGACCUUUAAAUUGUAUUAUUCAUGAAGAAAAUAAAAGUUUCUGAGUUCAGAAAACGAGAAUACACAUCGAGCAAAAGCCGCUAUUGAAGAGUAAAAAGAUGUAAAUACAAUAAUCUUACUUUGGCACACCGGAAAAUAGUGUAUCAACCAGUUUUUCAUCGUAAUACACCAGCGAGCUCUUCCCGUGUACAACACCAGAAGGAGAGCGUACAAUCUUCCCUAAAAGUCAACAGUGAUGCACUCAAAUUAGAACAUCAUAAGUGUCGCCCUGUAAAAUCCAACCAUUCACGCACAGCCCUUGUAAAAUCCGGAAAGCCACAUACGCCACCCAUAAAAAAUGCAGGUUCUUAAAAAAAUAUGCUUGUUUAAUUAUGGGGAGUCAACAAAUUCAUUAGGGGAAGAUGAUUUUGUACUGUAAAACGGCUAACAAAGAGGGGCAUUGCUGUAAAUGCAAUGGCAAUUUCACCUCUGUGUUAGAAAAUUAGGUUUUGAAUAGCAUAUAAACAAAAGCUCAAAUUUUGCAAGAGUACAUAUGUGAAUAAAUAAUUUUGUAGGGAUAAAUAUAUGUCACUGUAUCUAAAUGAGAUGAGUUGUAUUUGUAAAUUGAAAUGUAACCAUACCUCCAAAAGCCUCUCCAAUGCAUUGCAAGCCCAUACAAACUCCAAAUAAAGGAAUAGAAGGCCCCAACUCUAAAACAGUUUGUAAAGAGACUCCUGAAUCCUGAGGGGUGCCUUCAAAAAGAGAAAAGAAAAUAAAUAUUCAAGUUUCUUCAUAAAGCAAAGCAAAAAUUAUCGAGGAUUUAAACACUAACCAGGACCUGGAGAAAUUAAUAUCCCUCUUGGUUGUUUCCUAAAAAAACCCAAGUAAAUGAUCAUCGGCUAAUGCAUAAUGCUUGACUUUUAAUUAAAACACCAAAAGUUAACAAACGAAAAAAUUUCCAACCUUUUGAUUUCUUCAACGGUAAUUUCAUCAUUUCGAUAUACCUCAAAACUAGCUCCCAGGUCGCCCAUAUACUGCAUUAUCAAAGAUAAAAUGCUUUUCUAUAUCAGCAGCUGGUUCGCCUAAUCUGUCAUGCAAGGACCAUAUGUUUCCAGCUUUCUGCUAUUUGCCACGUAAACAGAUAAACAAUAGAGGAAUGUAUUGCUUUUAUAUGUGUUUUUGGGUAUCUCUUUAUUACCGCCACAAGCAAAACUGGAGAGAAUAUCCAAUUCUAAUGGAAUUCAUAUGUCAUGCACUGUAACAGAAAGUGUUACUAAAAUGUAAAUGAAGUUACAGUUAGGGAUAGUUGCGCUUGAAGAACUUAAAUUCAAAGUACCAUCUAUUGACUUAGCAUUCAAAUAUGCACACUCAAACAAUAGCCUGCCUUUCUUAACCGUCUCAAUAGGUCUGAGCAGAUCGCAUGAAGAGUAAGCCAUCACAAACAGUAUCAGGAAAAGAUCUUUAACCAUAAAAAUGAAGGGAAAUACAUGAGGGUGCAGUUCUAUAGUGAGAUUCAACCAAUUUAAUUCAUUUUAUAUCCACUCAAGUUCUAACGAUACCUGGCAUAAAUUAUAAGUGAAGCUAUCAUAGUUGUCGAUCACAAUGAUCGGUUUCGAAUCCUUCUUAUAACCAUUCGAAACAAAUGCUCUUUCUGCCGUUACUGCUUGUAUUGGAGCAGUAAAACUGCUUCUCCUAUUUGAUAAAACUCCACUUUUGACCCCUGAAAGAAAAAAGUCAAUUACAAUGCACUGUAAAAGCUGUAGGAAAUAGGGAAAUUAUAUUAUUCUAUGGUGUGCCUCGAAUUCUUGGACCCAGUCCAUUAUGUGAUCCGCUACGACACAUUUGGGAGAAAAAUGCAAUUGUGAGAGUUUUUGGAGGUUUGUGAUGGAAGCAUAGGGCUUGGGACGAUAGACCUUUUCUCCGAUUGGAUUAGGAUUAUUUACCAAUAUAUUCGAUGUUGGUGUUCUCCUGAUUAUUUACCAAGCAUGGAAAAUGACAAUUUUUUUAUCUCUAUCAUCUGCGAAUUUCUUAUUCUUAUGAAGAGUCAAAGGGCUUGGGCCCAACUCAAAAGCUUAAGCUGAUAGGUGAAGAUUCCCUUACACAUUAUAUGGGAACCAAAAUUUUUGUUUCUAUUCAAUAUGUGACUAUUUAUUCUUAACAUUACAAAUCAAUUAAGCAAGAAAAGCAAAAGAGUACAUUCCAAAGUAUAAAAAUUGAAUUAGGAAAAAGAAGAGCUUGUUAUUUCCACGUCCAUCAUAAUCUACCAUAUUAGAAACAAUCAUCAAUGGAACAAAAAAAAAGACGAUCUUUAAUCGAAAAAAUGCAGGAAAAAUGCAAGAGUAUGCAUUCAAAAAGAAAUUAGAAAAUUUUGGUAAAAUCAUACAAAACUUACUUAGACUAUGGACUAUUUUGAAUCGGCGACCCAAACUUUCAAAAGUUUGAUUUUACUGCCCAACCUUUUAAUUUGUUCGAUUUGAGUCAAUUAACGGCACUUUCACUUCAAAAUUUAAGCUAAUUACUUAAUUUAACGAAUUUAUAAUUACAAGAAUUUUAUUAAUCAUACUAACUAAAUACAUAAAGAUAAACGACGCAAUCAAAUUUUAAAGUUAAAGUGUCGUUGAAUACUCAAAUCAAACAAAUUAAAGAUAAUAAAAUCAAAAUUUUGCAAGGUUGGGUAGCCGAAUCAAAAUGGUCCAUAAUUCUGGUAAGUUUUGUACGUUUUUACCGAGAAAGUUUUACUUUAUCUUUCCAAUCCCUUUACACUCUACCAUAUUACAGACAACGAUAAACAACUCCUCUCAAUCGAUCGAACCCUAAUCCCCAAUCCCCAACACAUUAAACAACGAAAAAGAUCUCUAAUAAAAAAUGCAGGAAAAGUGCAAUUAAACUGAAUUAGAAGAAGCUCUACUUCAUCUUUCCAAAUCCACCAUAGUCCACCUUAUUAGAAGCAAUUAUCAGCUCCUCUCAAUCGAUCGAUCAAGCCCCAAUUCCCAAUCCCCAACGCAUAAAAAAGGGGGAAAAUAUCAUGUUUCUAAUCGAAAAAUGCGGGGAAAAAAGGGGAUGAGGAUCGAUUACUCGUCGGAUCGGCAACAGGGGCUAGGGCGGGGGAUCGCGCAUGGCGGGGCGGGGCCGCGGCUAGGGUUUGGGGAUCGGGGUAGGGUUUGGAGGAGGAGAGGAGGGAUCGGAGAGUGAGAAUCGCCAUGAGAGAGAGAGAGAGAGAGAGAGAGAGAGAGAGAGUUGGUGGAGAGCGUAGUUGAGCAUCUCUCGUUCUCUCUUUGGUUAAAAUGUAUAGAUACACCUAAACUUUAACCAUAUUUGAAAUUACCCCCCUGAACUUUUUAAAGUAAAAGCGUACCCAAUUUAUCUCAACUAUAAAUUAUUUUAAAUUAUCUAAUUAAUUUUUUAAAAACUUUUAAUUUACUAUCCAACAUUUCAAUUUAUUAUAUUUGAGAUUAAAAUUUAAGCUUAUUACUUACUUUAAAAAAUUUAUAAUUGCGAGAAUUACGUGACAUUAAAAUUUUCAAGUCAAAGUGUUGUUGACCGACUUGAAUUAGAUAAAUUGAAAUUUUGGUACCACCUCAAAAUGGUCCAUAGUUCGGAUAAUUUUGUAUGUUAUUUUUUUAAAAAAAUUUAAUUUACAUCCUUUUUAAUUAUUAACUGUCUGAUUUAACUUCUUUUGUUAGCAAUUUUAAAAGUUCUAAUAGAAUUAAAAUAAAUGUUCAUAAAAAAUAUACGUGAUUAAAAAUUACUUUAGCCAAAACAGAGGCCACGUGCAUCUCUCGUGGAUGUUUGCAUGUAAUAAAUAAAAGGGGUCUAAAUCAAAUAACAAAAUUUAGGGAGUGAAAUUCAAAAUUGGUUAAAGCUUAGGGGUGUCUAUACAUUUUAACCUUUUUUUUAAAAAAAGUUCGUUGACUUUUCAACCGUCACACACGAAGAGCACCUUUUGCCCGUAGUCAACUCUCCUGCGUUGACUAACACUACGAAUAUUUUAGGAAAAAGUAUAAAUGAGUAAAAAUAAAUAAAUAAAUAAUUUUAAUGAAAAAUUUUCCAACAAUAAUGACGAGUCCCUGAUCCUCCGCUGUUAUAUAUCAAUUUUACUUUUAUUUUCAAAUUUUAGUAUUAAAAAUAUUUAAUAAAUAUUUGAAUGGAUAUAAAUUUAACGCAUGGUGUUGUUAUCUGUUUGACGCUCUCCACUGAAAUUUUUAUUUGAAAAAAAAAAUCAUUCAAUGCGAGUAGGUACGUGUAAUGUGGGUCGUAUCGUGUCGAACUUUCGUUUUAACCGGCCGGUACCUGCCACACUGCGCGGCACGGCAUUGAAUUUAGUUCGUACUUUGUCACGUCAUAUUCGUGCUUUCGUUAGUUUUUUUUUAUUUUUUACAAAAAAUAAAAAAAAAUACAUAACUUAUCUAAACUAUAAACCAUUUUAAGCUGAUUAUUCAAUCUUUUAAAAAUUUAAUUUUACUAUUUAAUAUUUUAAUUUAUUUGAUUUAAAUCAGACAACGGCACUGUAAGUUUAAAAUUUGAAUGCGUCGUUUAUUUUUAUAAAUUUAAUUAGUAUACUUCAUAUAAUUUUUGUGACUAUAAAUUUUUUAAACCAGGCAAUUAGUUUAAAUUUUGAUGUGAAUGCCGCUGAGUGACUCAAAUUAAAAAAAUUAAAAAAUUGCGUAGCAAAACAAAAAUUUUGACAGGUCGAACGGUCAGCUCAAAAUGAUUCAUAGUUUUAGUAAGUACAGUACGUUUUUUAUCGUUUCAAAAUUGAACUGAAUCGCAUUAAUAUAGUGACUUUAUCUGAAGUAAUUUUGUCGAAAUAUAAUCCGGAUGCGGAUAUUAACGGAUAAUAUCGGUACGUGGAUAUUACCGUCCCCCUUACAUAUUACUGUACACAUCAAUGUAUAAUACUACUAAAUAAAUCUGGAUUUUCGUAUUCAUAUUUAUUUCUUAUGGAUAUCAUAUUUGCGCCUAUAUCUGACCGGAAUUUGGAUGCGGGUAUCAACGGACAAUAUCCGAUCCGCUUUCGCCCCUACCGAAGCUCCACUAACCUCGAUACAUUUGCAUCCUUUGCCAUGUAUGAUGGAUGUAUCAAGUACACUUGUACACCGGGUGCACGGAAUAAUUUGUUCAUGGUCGUAGAACACGCGGCUACCGACCAAGGAAAACGUACACCGAGGGGCGAGAGGAAAGUCAACACGGAACGGGGAAACGGGAAACGCGUUUCUUCGUUUUUGUUUUAUGGUCCUUUGGGGAAACGCGUUCGCCGCUACUGGUUUGAGAUCCGGCGAACGGAUGCUUUUCCCAAAAUGCCCCUAGGGGUGGGAAGCAUUGGAUUUUUGAAAAAAUUAUAUGGCUAAAUUACAAAACAAUUUUAGGCAAAUUUGUAUAAAAAAUUUAUUAGUUUUGAGAUUUUGCAAAAAUAGACUGUUUUUUUGAAUUUUGCAGAUUCAGGCUAAAUUUUUAGAAAACUGAUCAAAAUAUCCUUAUCCUUUUUUUUUCUCUCUCUUUUUUUUUUUCACUUGUUCUUUUUUUUUUCUCUCUCCGAGGAGACGCAGGCGGAGGCGGCCUGCCUCGCCUCUGUCCCACGCACCCUCGCCCUCACCUGUGCACCAUCCUUCUACCUUCCUCGCCUCCAACCGCAUCGAGGCCGCGUCUCGACCUCCUUUUUUUNCAACCCUCCACCACCGCCUUUUCGGUUUUUUACAAAAGUUGAAAAGGUAUCGUUACGCCAUUUUUUUCUCCUUUUUUUUUUCUUCUUGUUCUUUUUUUUUUUUCUCUUCAACCCUCAUCUACCACCUCUGUAACCCUCCAAAAUGGUAACAAAGACAAUGCUGCAUUCUCUUCCUCCGCCUUCGCCAGCACAGGCACCGACGCUGGUGCCAGAGAAGGAGGACUCGAAGCGAGUGCGGGUGAGAGCGGAGCUAUGGAAAAAAUAUGCAGAAACUAAAAAAUAAAAAAAUAAAGAAUAAAAUAUAAAAAAUAGUUAUUCCUACAAGAAAAAUAAAGUUGAAUUUGCACAGUUUCAAAAAAAUAUUGCACUAUUUUAAGAUAACGUUGUACUAUUUUAAAAAAAGUUUACACUACUAGAGAGAAAUAUAUACUUUUUUUUUUAUAAAAAUUACACUCUUUAAACGAAAAUUGUAUUAUUUAGACAAAAAUUAUACUAUUUUUUCUCCUCCUCAUCCGCUUUCUUGCCAAAUAAUGAAAUUUUCGUUAAAACAGUACAACUAUCAUUCAAAAAGUAUAAUUUUCAUCCAAAAAAAUAUAUUUUUCCUCUCAAAUAAAUUUUUUUUAAAAAUAAUGCAACGUUCCCCUGAAAUAGUGCAACAUUCUUCUGAAAUAGUCCAAAUUCAUCUUCUUCUUUUCUCUUUGAUUUUUUAUUUUUUUAUAGAAAAAAAUAUUUUUCUUUAUAUUCUAUUCUUUACUUUUUUUUUCUCUAUAUUUUUUUUUUUCGGCUCUGCUCUUUUUUGAAAUCUCUUAUCCAAAUAUUGGAAUGCAAAUCUGACUUAUAUCUUUAUUCGGAGAGAAAGAAAAAAAUGAACGACAGCAAAAAAAAGAGAGAGAAAAAGAAAUAAGGGUAUUUUGGUCAGUUUUUUAAAAAAUUCGAUCCGAAUCUGCAAAAUCCAAAAAAGCGACUUACUUUUGCAAAAGCUGAAAACUAAUAGAUUUUCUAUGCAAAUUGGCCAAGUUUUUAUGUAAAUAUUCAUUUUUUUUACUUUUAAAAUUUUAUAUUUUAUUUUUAAAAAUUUUAAAAAUAUUUUUAGAGGGUACAAUAUUAAUAAAGAGGGCAAAAUGAUCAAAUUACCUUUAUUUUUUUGUAAGAACAAAAUUAAUAUAUUUUUAUUAUUUUGAAGGACAUUUUCAGUAUAAAUUAUAAGAAAUGGAAAUGGACGGUAUAAUGAUGGAACUCUGAUGGAGGAAAGUUAAAUGCAACAACUUGAAAUGUUAAGUAAGUAAAAUAUAGAUUUUUGAAAAUUAGCAAAAAAAAAGCAAAAAAAGUGAGUGUUUAUAAAAAAAAUUUUCUGUAAUUUAGCCAAAUUAUAUUCUGUCACGCCCGGGUAUCAGCGGAAGCAUAUCCGGUACGUGCACAGACCCGCCAUACACCUACAGUAUAUAAGGCGUCUACAAGAAAGCAAGUCGAUAGGAGUAAAAUAUAGAAAAAUCCUAUCUUGAUAUCAGAGCAAAGUAUAAGUCCCUAAUACUAUCAACAGAGGAACAAAAAGUAACCAAUCCAAAAAAAAUUCCACAUCAUGGAGAAGUAUAACAACUAUAAUUUCAGGUUCCAGAACUCAUAUACAUCACAGGGUACACAAAAUAUCUGUACAAUGGUAGUCUCUCUAUACACUGGACAUCACCCUCGGUAGUAGCCCGAGUAGCAAGGUGAUCGACUAGCAAGCCCCUAGCAAUGUCUAGCUAGACGCAACUCCCUUACCACGAUCCCUAGCCUCUCCUGUAGAUGGCUCUGUAAAAACAACAAUAAAAUAGGCGUGAGAACUAUUAACAAUAGUUCCCAGUGGGUAAGCCACCAGCCUCGACGAAUUACACCACUAGGCUCAUGAUGUACUAAAUGAAAGUAAAAGCGAUAAUUGCAUGAUAUCUAUAUGCAAGGCUAGCAGGCAAUAGGCAUGUAAUCAACAUGUAAUCAUGAUUUCUGCACUAAUGAAUCAACUGAAUAAUAGAAGUAUAGCAACUACUAUAAACAUGAAUAUAAACAUGGAUGUGUAAGUAAAUACUGUACACUAUAACUGAUGAGCAUUAAUUACUGUCCUUUGUCAUUUAGUACUUUUAUUUCAUUCAUAAGGAUCUACCCAAGAUAGUCCAGCUUGUGCCGUGCCUAAUGGCCCCGUGGUAGUAUACACUCCCCACGGCAAUCCACUUCGGCACCCAAUCCCGCACGGGCGAGCAACUGUCGCGUAGGCCAACUCCGGAGUGCCGGCUUGUAGGGAGCUACCCUCACAAGCGUGUGCGAAUGAGCACGAUGGCAAGCAAGCAAAGUCCAUAAUCCAAUACAUCUCAAUCAUCACGUUUUAUCUUGCAAUGUUCUCACUCUCGAUCCUUUGAUCGGAAUUUCAAUAUAGCAGAUAUUGAACAUAGCUAGUAUCCACUAAAUUAGUAAUUAUGUAAGAGUAAUGCUAAUUUACUUAUAGCAUUAGAAACUUUCCACUAUCAUAGCACUAUGGUUAUAGUCACAAAGCAUGUCAUUGUUCUCUACUUUAUAAGAUUGUUAUUGUUCUCUACUUUAAGAACAUACUAGAUUGUUCAUGAAUCAUUCAACUGAGCCAAACAUAAACAUGUUUACUUCUAUGCAUGCAUUUCUCUACUUAAGAAAGAUUUCAAUUCACUACACAUACAUAUAUCAACUAUGAUGGUGAUAAUGUCCUGAAUCUAUGUCGAUUUCCAAGUUACGCCAAAUGCAUUCAUAUGCUAUUUCUAUAAUAUCAUAUAGAACAUAGGAGAGCUUCACUUGCUCUGGUUAGGUCAAACUCAUCUAUUACUAGGCUCAAAUCAGCCCAAAUGAGUCUCAAGAUUUAGCUCACUAGACCUCGACUCGGCUGAAAACGAAACGUAAGAAUCGCGUCACCACGAUUACUAAAAGUCCAAUUUCGGCAAAACUCUUAAUUAGAAUAAGAUAGUAACUUGAAUCCCUGUUUUGGUACACUGUAGUACCUUACGUUUAACCUCCAGAAGCGCUCACAAGUCAGCAGCAGGCAAUCCAACGGUCGAUUGCACCUUUGCUGCGAGCAAUAGCCAAACGGCAUCAAUAAGCUUGUGUACAAGCUACUAUAAUCGAAUUCUUACUAAAUCAGUUUUAGAACUGAAAUUCUUGCUUACCUCAGGUUAGAACACCUUCUAAACCAGUUUCCAAGGUCACCAAAUGAGCUCAAUUAACUCGGAAACCUACUGCGAACAACGACCCCAAAAUCAGCUUUUUAUCGUUGAAUUAGUACCCAAACAAAGAAGAAAGAAAGUAGUUUACCUUCUUAAACCAUAAACUCAGUCCCAACUGAGUUAAUCAACAAUAUCUGACCCUAUUACAGCAGCAAAUCCACCUUUCUCUCAGCUGAACAACAACAACCCAAAAUCAGCACUUGACUCGACUAUUAAAGCAUCGAUUGAGGAAUAAUUGAGUCGAUUACCUUCUCAAGCUUCCAACCAGCACCCUACUGGUUCAGAGCUGCGAAAAACCUUCCAGAACACUCUCUUACACGUCCACGGAAGCUCUGCGACGCUCGCAAACAGCGAAGAACAGGCGAGGCGACAAAAACGAGCUAAUUCGGCGAUUUCUAUGUAGAGAGAGAAAAAACCCUAGUGAGAGAGAGAGAAGAAGGUGGAAGAACAAUCCUCUGAGCUCCAGCAACCUCUACUGAGCUCCUACAGUUGUGCUGGGCAUAAGGGAUAAGAACAGGAAGCAAAGAGACCAAAAAAAUCUUGCUGCCACGCACCUGCUGCAGCUGCUGCUUGCUGUACCGGUACAGCAUAAUACCUGUACCGGUACAGCAUAAUGCCUGUACCGGUACACAAUGCAAAAUUCGAAGAUAAUGCUACAGCAAUGCACUUUCUUACUUUUGGCCAUCCAAUCAUUCUCUAACUUAUCCAAAAACUUGCCCAAGCCUUUUAGAACAUGUCGGAUAGAUCCACAUAUCCUUCCUCAUACUCGAACUUCGCAAUUUGCAAAAAUUCAGUGUAUUACAUAUUCGCAUUCAUAUUUUUCUUCGAAUGCGAAUUCGAAUGUAGAUAUAUAUCAUAUGUUAAAUUUUUAUUAUAAUAUCCAUUAAAAAUGGAUUCGGAUUCAGAUGUAAGUCGGAUUUGCAUUCCAAUAUUAUUCAGAUAAUAAUAUAUUAAUAUGCAUAUAUAUAAAUAUGAGCUAAAACUAAAGCUAAUAAGACAUAUAAUGAAAUUAAAGGUUCACACUGAAAUUCAAAAUAUCUAUUUACCCCUAAAGGACCAAAAUAUCCUUAUUAAUUUUAAAAAACUUCUUCAAUGAUGUGAUUGAGUUUUAAAUGGGUAUUUUGAUAAUUUGAGAAUAAAUUUGAAAAUUUUGAUAGUGGUAAGAGAUAAAUAAGCAAAAAGCCCUCUAAAUUUAUAGAAGGUAUAAAAUAAAUUAGGAAUUUAUUUUUAAAAAAUAAUAAUAAUAUCUUACAAAUCUGUUUUAAAAUAUCUUACAAAUCUGUAAUAAAUCUAGUGUUGAGUUUUAGGGUGUGUUUGGUUCCACGUAAAAUUGUGGAAAAAAANAUGUGUUCUGCACCUUUGCAUUAUUAUCUCUUUAGUGCGUUACUUAAGUGAAAUUUUAGCACUUUGCCAUUUUCUACUAAGCAGGUUUCCUCUAACUUUAGGAAAACAAACCAUGCAAUAUGCUCCUACUGUAAUUUUGGAAUGUUCGAUCUUAUUCUAUCUCUUGCUAGCUAUAUGCUUCUCAUGCAAACUUACCUCUUUGCUAGCUAAAGCUUACUUUUACUGUGGUCCAUAAUGUUCUUGUAUUCUUUAACUGCAACCUUUCAUAAAUACAUUGGUCUCCCUCUCUCUCUCUCUCUCUCUCUCUCUCUCUCUCUUAUAUGAACAUUGAACACCAACACAAAAGGCGUGCUCCACAAGCUACUCCUCUCUCUCUCUCUCUAGAACUCUCUCUCUCUCUCUCCCUUCUCGAACCCUAACGAUCCCCUGAUCCGAUCUCUCCCCAUUCGAGUUUGGAUCGAUCGGAGCAUCUCGAAUCCCACCCGCAUUGCCCGCGAUUCGACGGAUCUGGAGAGGUAGGUAUGGUAUAGGGCUUCGGGGGGGAGGUCUCUGGCCAUGGCGGCGGCGGCGGAGGGCGCGAUCGGAGGAGGAGGAGGAGGAGGAGGAGGGGUAGGGGAGGGGGCGUGGGUGUUCGACGAGCGCGACGGGUUCAUCUCGUGGUUGAAGGCGGAGUUCGCCGCGGCGAACGCGAUCAUCGACCUCUUCCUAGCCCACCUCGGCGAGAUCGGCGCGCCCGGGGAGUACGAGCACGCGGCCGCGUGCGUCCACCGGCGGCGGGGCCACUGGGCCCCCGUGCUCCACCUGCAGCAGUACGUCCCCGUCUCCGAGGUCUUCUUCGCGCUCCAGCAGGCCGAGUGGCGGCGGUACCACCAGGCGGCGGCGGCGGCGGCGGCGGCGCCGUACCCUCGGCAUUUUGACGGGCCGAGGGAGAAGGAUGGGAGGAGGGGAGGUGGGUUUGCGAACCGGGGUUACCGGUUCGAUGGGGCCGGCGGGAAUCGCGGCUCGGUAUCCUCGGCUUCGGCGAGAUCGGAUGCGGAGAAGAGGGGAGAUGUGGUGGAGAAGGGCGUGGAUGUGAAAGAGCGGGUUGAAGCUUAUGCGAAAGGGAAUAGUUCGUCGGAUGCUUUAUCGGAGAAUGCAGGUGAGAACGGAUCACUGCUUCCUAUCUUAAAAAUUCUGAUACUAUUAAAAACUUGCAUUGUUGUCCAACAUCUUGUGCUUUUUACCGAUAGGGUUUUAUGAGCUUUACUUCUUGUCCUAGAAACUUCAUAUCUUGCCGUUUUUCGACCAUCGAUUCCUCAAUUGGCACAAUAAAUCAUGAUUUUUUGUCACACUGUUGUGAAAUAAUGUGAAUUAUUGGCUGUAAAUUGACAAUUUCCCAUUUUGAUAGACUUUUUGGGGGCAAAUAGCUGAUUUGAUGGGUGGCCAAGUGGGGGGAUACAUGCUGUUGUGUGCUUUAAUAUUUUCUUCCAUGUGUUGCAUUGUGUUCAGGUAAUGAUCUGAGUAGCUCAGAGACAAAUUGUGGACAGAAGGAAGGGAAAAAGCCAGUUGGCAGCGUGUGUAGUAAGUUGGAGCCUGCUGCCACAAAUGAUGUCCAAGCACUAUCUGAUCAAGGUAUCAUUUUGACUCAGUGAUGUGUAAAACCUAUCAUUGCUUUCAUGAGGAAUAAAUGGUUAACAUGCCUUAGCUAUGACUCUUUAUUGUGAUCUUAUUUCAGAUUUGUGGAGAUUUUGUCGAAAUUCAGAUCUAUGUUUAGAUAUGAUUGAAGAUACUGUAUAUUUAGCUAUUUAAGGACAUGUUAAAGGUGCGAACAUAACACAAGAGGAGAAUGCUGAGGAGGAUGAAUGGUAAAACUAACAUAUGAAAUAUAGGAUUAAAAAUAAGAUAUUUUGUUUAAGGUGGAAUUGCCUAAAUUGAGUGCAAAAUGCCUGAAGGCCAUUUGAGAUGGUACUGCCCUAUAUACAUGCUAUUGGAUUAGUCUGAAAGUGUGAAGCUGUCGAAGUAGGUGAUGUGGAAAGAGAGUAGAGGGAGACUGAAAAUGAUGUAGUUAGGAUGACCAUGAAAAUUUUAGCUGCUCUAGAUAUUAGAGAAGAGAUACCUCCAGAUGGGAUUCUGUACAGGAAGAGGAUUUCUACUCCCUAUUUCCUUUAUUUUUUUUUAAGGAUUUGCUGACCUCAAUUUGCAUAUAAGUUCAAGUUAAGUGGAGUUGACAUACACGAUAUUUAACGUUUGAGCUAGUGAAGUGUGGUUCUUUUGUUUUUGGAAUAUUAUUAAUGUACUCACUCUUCCUAUUGAAAUAAAAAAAUUAAUAGAGAAAAGUCAGAUGAUGUGACUGCAUUGCAUGUUCAGAUAGGAAUUCUGUUUGAUACUAAUACCACCAAAGAGUCAGAAUAUUGGUGAUAGAGAUGGGUGCUUUGAAUUGUUUUAUUUUUCAUUUUGAUUUGCCAUAUUAUUCCAAGAUAUGAGCUGGACUUCCUAUGCCUUCUAUGUGUAUUUUCCUUUCAUUGGUACAUCUCAUAGAGCUCAUUGUGGUAUGCCAUAGAUUCAUGUAGAACAGGUAGUCAUUCAACCUUCUAUUCUUCUUUACCAUAACGACAAUCUAAUUUGUGCCUUUUGAGUCUAGAUUUUACUGCCUAUAGAUUUCAGACAAAGAUGUAUGCCAGUAUAAGUUUAUUUUAUUCAGUUAUUGUGGGUGAAAAAAAAUCUAUGCAAAGUGACAUAUGCUGGAGAAUUUUAGAGUUUGUAAGAUUCUUAGAGAUCAUCCCUUAUUGGUGUAAGAAAUGACCUCCUCAUAUAAAGGUCUCCUUACUUGUAGUAAAGCUAAAACAUAUACUUCCAUUAGAUACUUAACAUUUCUUUUACAGUCUUUGUAAUGUUCUUUUCGCACAAUUUGUGUCAGUGAGAACUUUUCCUCAGUUGGAUGCAGUUUUCAGUGCCCUGCAUUUUAAUUUCUCUUUUAAUUGAUAUAAGCAUGGUUAGAACUGGAGAAGAACUAUAACUUGAUGGCUUCAAAUUUGAUCCUCUCUCUUGUAGUUCAUGAUUCAUGAAACAUGUAUCUAGUAAUGAAUUCGAACUUUAAUGUGUAUAGUGUUAAAUGAGUUCUGCAGGUAUUUCUCUGUUGUUUGCAGGGAGGAAAAUUAAUUACCUUCCUUUCUUUGAAGUCUCUUAUCCUUGUGCACAUUCUUAUGUUAGUUCUUUUACACAAAAACUUUUCCAGUAUAAAUAAUCACUUGAAAUUUUCUCCGUGUAUUCACUUUUUCUUGCUUUUUCAUAGACUUUGCAUGCAUCUAACUCAAUACUCUUAUUAGUCUUGGCUCAUUCUUUGAUGCUCUGGCAUCUGCUUCUGUUUUGUUUGUAUUCUCAACUUCUUAUCACUUUAUUCAUUGUUUUCCUUUUCUUAAUCAACAUAUUAUGUAUGUCGUGUUAUCAGUAACUUCAUCAGAUUGUGCUUGUGUGAUCAAGGGAAUGUCUUAAAUAACUUAUCUUUCUUCUGUUUUAUAAUUGUCCAGGAGAUAUCAGUGAUUAUGUUCCACACAGUAAUGGCACUGUGACAACAAAUAUUGAGGGAAAGGGGAAACCAAUACCAAUCCCCAAAGAUUUUGAGGUUAAUGAACAAAGUGAUGGCAGGAUAGUACGUCUUCUUAUGCCGCUUCCUUAAAUGAUCUCUUAUCUGGUCCUUAGAACAAGACUCAUUGUGUUAUAUUGUUUUCCAUCCUAACAGUCAAAAUAUGACAUUUUUCCUCUAGGUUAAUAUAGUUGAAGGUCUUAAGCUCUACGAUGGAUUACUGGAUGCAACAGACAUGAAUCAGCUACUUUCAUGGGUAAAUGAAAUGAGAUCUGCUGGUCGUCGAGGAGAAUUACAAGGUAAGCUCGCCUUUGGCUAUCCUUUCCGACUGGACUUUAGAAACUUAUAUAUAAUUUGAUCAUUCGAUGUAAUAUAUAUGCUAAUAUAUGCGGAUCUGUUAAUUAUAUUUUCUGUGAUUUAAGAACCAGAUGCUUUGACGUGACAUUGUUUGUUAAAUUUGGCUUAUUUUUUAGGGAAAAAACAUUUUCUUGGAACGUGUUAUUUUUAGUACCAAUGUAAUGUAUGCUCGGUUUUUCUUUGCACUUUAGCAGGAUAAUUUUUGAAGGAUUUUCUGGCUGUCGCAUUUAUGACAUGUUGGCAAAUACCUUAAAUUCUGUAAUUUGCAAAUAAUUGUAUGAAUCACUCCUUCCUGUUUAUUUCUCAUCUUGAAGAGCAAAAUAAUAGCUUAUUGCUACUUUUUAACUUGUCAUGGGAUAGAAAUUUGUCUUGCAUUUGUGAUCUUUAUGUAAGUGUGGAUCUUAUCUUAUUGACUUUCUUGACCCUGCAGCUUCUUCUAGAUAUACACUUGUGUUAGGGAGCUUGAUACUUUCAGGGUAUAGCUUGAAUAACUGGAAUUCUAGAAUAUGGUGUUUUUUUUCUUGAAUAUACUGUUUGAUAUGAAUAAUCUUAAAAUUGCAGGAAAACUUGGUAGUAGCAUGGUAACCUGAAAAAAAAAUACAACACUCAAACAGUCAAUUUAUGAGAACACAGAACGUCAAUAUUAUACCCCUACGCAUGCAAACUCGCACUUUUACUUCUUUCUUCUGUGAUCUAUUGCCCCAUUGUAACCUGGACCGCGUCCCUCCCCUUCCCCUCCCUUCUUUUGCUAGUUUUGGUGUACUUCCUGACAGCCUGGCGACCCGCCAGCAAUGUGCCAUCCCUCUCUUUCUCUAUCUAGCUCCCAUUAAUCCCUUCUUCCCUUACCCUUCCCUCUCUGAGUGGUGAGGCCUUCUGGCACUGUGGUUACCUGCCAGCUACCAACAAUCAGCCUAUGCCCAUAUGACCAGCUAGCGAUUGACUUAUGCCCAUGGUGAUUUCCUCCUCAUGGCAUGAUGGCCUGCCAAUAGUCGGCAUACAGCUUGCGUGCUCGUGCAAGCUUGCCAGCGCUCGCUAACCCUCGUCCCCCGCAGCCUUUUAAUCCUUUCAGCAAUUGGUUUGGGCCUGCGUCUGACUUGUGUCAUGGCGAUCAGUAUGUGACUAUUCCCCUGCCUCUCCCUCUCCUCUCACCUCCCUUCUCCUCCCGCAUGGCCUCAGGAAAAGUUCCUUCAAGAGGACAAUGGAAACACUUUGUUACCUCGAGUAAAGUGCCUGAGAUGAAUCGUGCCUAUUUCAACAGUUUUCUUUACCUUGGAUUUUUCCUUAGGUAUUUAAACCAAGCCGCAUGUUUUUUAUUUAGCCUACUCUUUUUCAAAAAUUGAAGGAACACUUUCAGACCAAUUAAAUUGAUUCAACUUAGAACUGUUCUUCCCAUCUCAUAGGGCUGCUUAUCUUAACCAUAACUUUUAUGGAUAUCUUUCUUUUUUUGGCGGACUUAAGAUAAAGUUUGUCGACUUGUCGUCGUCACUUCUGACGUAUUACUUUGGGAGUUUCCUUUUACAACUUAAAUUGUUGAAGAGUGCUUGCGCUUUGCAUGGUGUAAACAUAUGGCCUUUAAUGUAAAAGUGCUUGCACUUUGCAUGGUGUAAACAUAUGGCCUUUAAUGUAUAAUAAUUAACACAUAUUUCUGCAUCUUCAUAUUAUAUAGAAAGUUAAAAGCUGUUUUCAGCGUUAUGCUUUUGAAAUUAUUUUUCUAGUAUAGAAACCCUACGAACUUUGUUCUAUUGUACUAGGAAGGUAUAUAUAUUUUCCUUUGGCUGGCGGAAUUUCUGAUUUGUGUGGAUGAACUGAUGAAGCCUUGGUAAUUAGUCAUACUUAUGUCCUUCGUCCUUAUGUAGAUGAACCGGCUGCUGGCAUUAGCAGUGCAAAGCUGCUUCCAAUAAUGCUGGUUUUAUCUGGAGCUUGGGUUUCUUUGCCCAUGUGCUUGGUGGUCGAUACUGCCCUACAAAUGAUGUUAAUUUAUAUGCUGUUAUGUGUGCCUUCUUUUUUGACCCCAUAUUUUAGAUAGCAGUUUUUAACAGUUUUUUAGUGUGGUUAUGCAUGUAGACGUGAUAUUUAGUACCAAAUCUAUAAGGUCAUUUAGGUUUGUUAUUGUUGAUAUAGGGGCCACCUAAUAACUAUAUUCUGGGAUCAAGGAAAAUAUAUAAUGAUUUUUGUGGAUCUCCUCUCUCUUUCGUGUCUAUCAUUUGUUAAUUUGACGAUUCCCUUAAAGAAAAUCACUUCUAGUUUUUCUCUUUCUUAUUUUCCACUUUGAUUAUGAAAAACAGGGCAGACGAUGAUGAUAGCAAAGAGACCAAUGAAGGGUCAUGGAAGGGAAGUGAUUCAGUUAGGCAUUCCCAUGGUUGACGGCCCUCCAGAAGGUAAAAACACUGCCCAAAUUUCCACAGGUUUUACUGUCCGAUGGCAAAAUUUAAUUAUUAAAUCAGUACUCGAAAUUUUGUGGUAAUGAAUUUAUCUAAACAUGUGCUCAUAAUUUUAGAUCGAAAGGUGGAGGCCAUCCCUAGCAUAAUGCAGGAUGUGCUUGACCGCUUAGUACGGCUCCAAGUUUUGCCGGUCACACCUGAUUAUUGUAUUGUUGACUUCUUUAGUGAGGUAAGUCAUUCUUUCUAGUUUCUGUAUCAAAAUAUUGUUGAGAAAAAUAAAUAGUGAGCCUCACAUAUGAUGCCACUUUUAUAUAGGGGGAUCAUUCUCAUCCUCAUAUUUGGCCACCUUGGUAUGGUAGGCCUGUUUCUACUUUAUGCUUGACUGAAUGCGACAUGGUCUUUGGCCGAGUAAUGGUGUUUGAUAGAGGAGGAUAUAAUGGUGCUCUACACCUAUCUUUGCAAAAUGGGUAUGUCUUUUAUUGCAUUUUGGCUAAUUCAUCUCUACCUCUGGAAUCAGUUAUUUAGUUAGCAUAACUGCAUGAUUUUCCUAAAAAGGCACAGUUUUUUCUUCUCUUUCCUUUAAUUAAUAUAUAUAUGCUUUUCCUUUUUUUGGCGUAUUCUCAACUCUUUUAUUUGUUCUGUUAUCUAUGCACUGUUCACUUUGCAAACUGCAUGGCAAAGUCAUCUACACUUCGUUUACGGAAUCUAGUAAAUACUGAGCUGGGUAUAGAGAGUGACGAGAAUCGUGCCUUUUCUUAGGCUUCAAGUGAGAACUUUUAAGGCAAAUCCCAUUUUAUGCUUGAUGUUCUGCAUAUUAAUGUUUGGUAGAGUAAGUCUCUUAAGGAAAUAUGACAUUCCUCAUUGCUUAUACUUCUCUCCAAGCUUUCAACAUGCUUGUUGGAUGAAAGCAUCUAAUACAUUUUCUUCAUCAUGUUGGUAUCUUUCGUAGUUUCCAUUUGAGAUCCUUGCCCAAAGAAACUUUAAAAGAAGUUCCUGUAGUUGGUUCUUCAUCAUGUAUGGCAUCUUUCGCUGUUUUCAUUUGAGAUGACCAAAGAAGCUUUAAAACAAGUUCCUGUAGUCGGAUCCAUUUUGGCUGAUUGAUGAAUCGAAUCUAAUGCAUAUUUCUUGUUCUUUCCAGGUCUCUCCUCCUGUUGCAGGGUAAAAGUGUGGACCUCGCAAAGCACGCCAUCCCCUCCAUGCGCAAACAACGAAUAUUACUCACUUUCGGAAAGUCCCAACCGAGAAGGAACUCUUGGUCCGAAAACUCUCGCUUCAAUUCACCCUCUCCGCCUCCGUCCUCGCCAUGGGGUCCGCCAUCAUUUAGGACGCCCAACUUCUCCCGCCACCCUCCGGGCCCUAAACCCUACGGGGCGGUCCCCGUGACUGGCGUCCUCCCGGCCCCACCCAUCCAUCCACAUCAACACCUCGCUCCACCGCCCAACGGAAUCCAGCCGCUCUUCAUUUCACCGGCACCCACUGCGGGCCCUGCAGCUGCCCCUUACCCUCCGCCGGCGCCCGUCGCAAUACCGAGGCACUCUGCUCCGUGGCUCCCUCUCCUCGGCACGGGGGUCUUCCUCCCUCCCGGCUCUUCGCAAACAACUCAAGCUCUCCAACCUCCAGUUUUUCCCUCUUCUGGCGAUCCUAGCUCCUCCCAUCCAGAGACUUCUUCUUUGCUCAACACCAAGUGCAUCGGGACGGAAUCAUCAAAUGGCCACAGUUCUUCUCCCCAAACUUCUCCUAAGAACAAAUCAAACGAGACGGGAGCUAAACCCGAGUGCAAUGGGGAUUCAAACCACACUAGCAAUGCUUCUCAAAAGACGAUUUCGGUUAAGGAACAGGAAAAUGAUGGCCCAAAGGUUGCGAACAAGCCCGCGAGUAAUGGUGCUAACUAGAGGAAACAGGAACUGUAUAGAUACGAAAGGAGGACGGAAAAAAAUGGGAUUCUUUCGCCGGGAACAACUGUGAAUGGUUAUAGCUGGAAUUGUUUAAACGAGUCGCAUCGCACAAAAUGUAAAUCGCGGGAGAGGGUCAAGUGACUUAUAUAUGUUAGUCGUGACGCGAGAACUUAUUUAAAUUUUGUAGGCGCCGUUACGCCGCCUGAAUUUUACCUUUUUAAUUUUUUUUUUUUCCUUUAGGGUUUGCUGUUUAUUAUUGUCAAACUUACAAACUAUUUAGUUUCUAUUGAAUCAGGUGAAGAGGCUGGAGUAAUCUGUAGGGACUUGUUCAAGUGCAGGUGCGAUCUAUCUUUACAAUUUAUGAAUUCUAAAUGCUUUUUAUUCUGCACUAUUGCCGACAUUUUUGCCUCACUUCUUUCUUAGUUAAAAUAUACAAAAGUUACAUGAACUACGGAUCAUUUUGAUUUGGCUAUCUAAUUUAUUUAAAAUUUGAUUUUAGUAUUUAUUCUUUCAAAUUUUUUUUUUUUGAUUUGAGUCGGUCAUCGGUAUUUUGACUUUAAAAUUUUAGCUAAUUACUGAAAUAAUUUUGUAGUUACGAGAGCUGCAUAAAAUAUAUACUAAUUAAAUCUGUAAAGAUAAACAAUAUAUUUAAAAUUUGAAAUUAAAGUAUCGUUAAUUGAUUCAAAUUAAAUAAAUUGAAAGAUUAGAUAGCAAAAUCAAAAUUUUUAGAGGUUGGAUAGAUAGUUCAGAGAAGUUUUGUAUAUUUUUAUCUCAGUUUUAUUAUAUGCUUUCCUAAACUAGAGAACAUUUUAAAUUGCCCCCUCAAUUCCAAUUUUUGAUCCGCACUGUUUAAAUCUUUGGGUUUUUUUUUUUAUUUUUUUUAUUUUUUUUUUGAAUUGAAUGAUUUUGGGCGAUUUAACAAUUUCAUCCAAUUCAAUACCUCUAAUUACAUUUUAGCAAAUAAAAUCAGAACAAAUAACGGCUCACGGGUAAUUGAGUUGGGAAAUUAACACAUUUUGUUAUUUUUCAAAGUAGAAUAAUUCAAAUGAAGAAACUUGGAUUUAAGUUGAGGGGCCUAUUUUAAAACAGGGCCUAUAGUUGAGUAAAAAGCAUUUAAGUUAUAUUUAUGACUUUAUUAUUUGUACAGAUAUUUACACAGCUUUAAAAUACAGAAAAAAAUUACUUCUUCUAUUCCAAUAACUAAAACAUAAUAAAAAAUAAAAAGAUAUAUUCACUUUACUCUUCAACAAGUAUAUAUUCAAAACUAUAAAGUGUUUCUUUCUUUCUUUUUUUUUUUUGAGGGUUGGAUUUAACAAAAAAAAAAAAGCGAAAAAUACAACAAGAAAUAUAAAAUCUAAAUAAUAAAUGGUAAAUAAAUGAGUGUUAUUUCUAAUCUUUUAAUGUUGGAAAAGGUAAAGAGGAUCAAAAAGGAGAGUACAACAUAAUGGCACAUAUAUAUAUAUAAUAUAUAUAUGGAAAUGGAAAUAUGGGCACUUCCAUAUAUAUAUUAAUAUAUAUAUAUAUAUAUAUUAUAUAUAUAUAUAUAUAUUAUUAUAAAUUAAUUGGAUAUAGAUGUAUUAACCACAGCAAAUUCCAAAUAUUGUUGAUGGAAAAUAUUUUGACAUAAAAGGACAAUCAUCUAUGCACUGUAGCAUUUUGAGCAAUUUUUUUUUGUAGGGCUCUCAACAAGCGGCUCUUGUUAACUCAGUAUAUUAAACGAACUAACCAUUAGUUGGCUCGUUAAAAUAUCUCAAACAUGAGUUGGCUCGUUAAAAUAUCUAUAAAAUAUCGACUUUUUUAAUGAGUCGAAUAUGAUGUUUGCUUGCAAGCAGCAAAUUAAAUUAUCAGCCCUACUACUAAGUAAGAAGUUUAAGAGUAAAAAUAAAAUUUUAAUCAAUAAUUAAAAUUCGCUAAAAUGUAGUGCUUUUACAUUUGAAUUUGGUCUAAAAUCUAAAUAAUAAAUUUAUUAUUAUAUACUAGUAUAUAUAGAGUAGAGGCUAGAAUGCUAUGCGUAGCAAAGCUGCAUCUAUUGCCACCCAUUUGUUUUCGAUGAUGGAAUCUGUUAAUUGACGAUCGUGGGCAAUCCAUUGAACAGGGAUCUAUACCAUUGACAUAUCUAGAUCAAAUUUCAAUAUCAUUUUGACAUCAUUAACCCAAGAUCAAAGGGUGUCAAAAAUUGUAAUUUUAAUGUAGAUUAUGAGGCUUUUCUUGUUUAACGGGUGUAAAGUAUCAAAUCAACUUGACAUUUUGGUUAGAAUAUUAUUAUAUAUAAUAUAUAUAGUAUAUAUAUAUAUAUAUAGUAUUAUUAUAUAUAAUAUAUUAUAUAAAUUAUAUACUACUAUCGAAUAGUACGUAGCCCUUGUACUUUGAGUUUUCAGACGUGGAUGAAAAGAUUGUGCGGUAGGAUGAAUAGUGCGUCCCCGUUAAAUUGAUAGUUGGUCCCCCAGAGUGUUGAGGUGGUUGGUUUAAAGUUAUAACUCUAAGCGAGGUGAAAUGCAUCAAAAGGGUAUGUCUAUACGGUUAGAAAACUCAUAACGUUACCAAGGCUUGGUACCUAUCGAUAGUUAUAGUAGCCGACUCUAAAUACUAUAAUAUAUAUAUANNNNNNNNNNNNNNNNNNNNNNNNNNNNNNNNNNNNNNNNNNNNNNNNNNNNNNNNNNNNNNNNNNNNNNNNNNNNNNNNNNNNNNNNNNNNNNNNNNNNNNNNNNNNNNNNNNNNNNNNNNNNNNNNNNNNNNNNNNNNNNNNNNNNNNNNNNNNNNNNNNNNNNNNNNNNNNNNNNNNNNNNNNNNNNNNNNNNNNNNNNNNNNNNNNNNNNNNNNNNNNNNNNNNNNNNNNNNNNNNNNNNNNNNNNNNNNNNNNNNNNNNNNNNNNNNNNNNNNNNNNNNNNNNNNNNNNNNNNNNNNNNNNNNNNNNNNNNNNNNNNNNNNNNNNNNNNNNNNNNNNNNNNNNNNNNNNNNNNNNNNNNNNNNNNNNNNNNNNNNNNNNNNNNNNNNNNNNNNNNNNNNNNNNNNNNNNNNNNNNNNNNNNNNNNNNNNNNNNNNNNNNNNNNNNNNNNNNNNNNNNNNNNNNNNNNNNNNNNNNNNNNNNNNNNNNNNNNNNNNNNNNNNNNNNNNNNNNNNNNNNNNNNNNNNNNNNNNNNNNNNNNNNNNNNNNNNNNNNNNNNNNNNNNNNNNNNNNNNNNNNNNNNNNNNNNNNNNNNNNNNNNNNNNNNNNNNNNNNNNNNNNNNNNNNNNNNNNNNNNNNNNNNNNNNNNNNNNNNNNNNNNNNNNNNNNNNNNNNNNNNNNNNNNNNNNNNNNNNNNNNNNNNNNNNNNNNNNNNNNNNNNNNNNNNNNNNNNNNNNNNNNNNNNNNNNNNNNNNNNNNNNNNNNNNNNNNNNNNNNNNNNNNNNNNNNNNNNNNNNNNNNNNNNNNNNNNNNNNNNNNNNNNNNNNNNNNNNNNNNNNNNNNNNNNNNNNNNNNNNNNNNNNNNNNNNNNNNNNNNNNNNNNNNNNNNNNNNNNNNNNNNNNNNNNNNNNNNNNNNNNNNNNNNNNNNNNNNNNNNNNNNNNNNNNNNNNNNNNNNNNNNNNNNNNNNNNNNNNNNNNNNNNNNNNNNNNNNNUAUAUAUAUAUAUAUAUAGUCUUCUAUACUAUCUAUAGUACCAGGGCUUCGGUAUUAUAGUCUCGUUUUUGAUCUUAGGGUGUUCAAAUCAACGAUUCACACAGUUAAAACUGAUCUUGGGUAUUUAAAGUUUUUAGAAAUAAAAUUUUAUAUUUUUUCGAUAUAGUUUACUUUAUGAUCAAGUCAUUUUAAAAUUGUCAAUUUUCAAUGGCUACUAUAGCGAGUUCGGAGUUUAACGGUGUAAAAGAAUCUAAAUUUCUUCAAAUUUUGAUAGAAAAUACUUUAAACUAUCUAGAUUAAGGUUAACAUUCUUGAUCUUGAAUUUAAAAGUCCUAUACUCAAAUUUUAAAGAUUAUUCAAUUUUUACCGUCCAUUUUGACAUAAUUUAUUUACUAAGUAAAUGUCGAAAAAAGCUAAAAUUUUAUUCUUAAGAACUUCAAAUAUCCUAGAUUAUAUUUAACGGUGUGGAUCAUUAAUUUGAAUACCCUAAGAUCGAAAACAAGACUAUAGUACCGGAGCUCCGGUACUAUAGAUAGUAUAAUAGCCUAAUUCUCUCUCUCUCUCUCUCUCUCUCUCUCUCUAUAUAUAUAUAUAUAUAUAUAUAUAUAUAUAUGGAGCUACUAUGCUAUCGGAAGUAUAAAGUAGUCGGUGCUUCCGAUUUUUGAGCCCUUGGAUCAAAGAUUUUGCGAUUGGGAUGAUAACGAUCCUCUUAAGGUUGAGUGGUCCCUCUAGGGUUGAGUGGUCCCUAUUGGUUAAUAAUAUUAAUCCAAUGGUUAGAAAUGAUCAAUGAGGUUGAUUUAAUGGCUAAAAAAUCGAAAGCACCAACUACUUUAUACUUCUGAUAGCAUAGUAGCUCUACUAUAUAUAGAGUAUGGCUGCUAUGCUAUCGAUAGCACUAAACACUUGGUGCUAUCAAGUUUUCUACCAUUAGAUUAACCUUUUUAUUAUUUUUACUCGUUAGAUUAUACUAUUCAACCAACUACCCACUUAACCCUAGGGGCCCACAUCAUCCUAACAGCACAUUUUUUAAUCCAAAAGCUAAAAAACUAAUAGCACCAAUAGCUUGGUGCUAUUAAUAGAAUUCCAGCCUAGUUUUAUAUAUAUAAUUGGACUGGAAUACUAUUAAUAGUAUUUGAAUUUUUUUACUAUCAAUUUUUUAACCCUUAUAGAUGAAAAUUUAUAGAUUAGCUAAAUUAGAUUAUAGGAUUUAAUUACAACAGUUAUGAAUAUUCGAAUUAAAAAUUAUAAUAACUUAAAAUUUAAGUAUCAAAAUAUCACCCAUCUUAUAGUUUUCGGGCCAAAUGUGCAAUGUACCCUUUUAAAAAAUAUCAAAUUGUGUGUGAUCAACCCUCUUUUUUUUUUUGUUUUUUAAGUUUUAGAAAGGUAUAAGACAUUAGAACAGCUUAAACAAGUAGUACAAAUGGUCCCUGUACUUUUGUUUUUGGCAAUUUAGUCUCUGUACUUUUACUUAAAAUAUUUUAAAAAAAAGAGGGUUGAUCCAAGGAUAGUUAUAAAUUGAGAUAUAAGCGGAGAUUACAUCAAUUUUACGUUUAGAUGAAAAUUGUAUUAUUCUUGAGAAUUAAAAAAAAAACGUUUGGUCAGGUAAGAUUGAAUAAGAAGGGUAGUAGAUUUUAUAAAUAAAAAAUAAUGAUAUUACCCUUUUAAUAUAUUUGAAUUUAAAUUUUUAAAAUUUUAAUUUAUAUUUUUCAAUUUAAAAUUCAAACUUUGAAAUCUCAAAAUUUAAAAUUAAAGUUUUAAAUUUAAAAUCUCAAAUUUUAAAUUCAAAUUUUAAAUUUUAAAUUUCAAACUUUAAAUAUAAGAUCAAAUUUUAAUUUGAAAAAUAUAAAAUAUCAAAUUUUAAAUUUCAAAAAUUUAAAAUAUCAAAAUUAUAAUUUAAAAUUUAAAAUUUAGAAUUUAAAAUUAUAAACUUUAAUUUUGAUAUGACAAAUUAUAAAUUUUAAAAAUUUAAAAAUUUAAAAUUUAACUAUUUAAUUAGAUAAAUAAUAAUGAAUUAUAAAUAGAUUAUUAUUUAAAUAUUUAUUAAUUUAAUAACUUAAAUAAUUAAUUAUUAAAAAAUUAAUUAUAAUUUAUAAUUAUUUAUAACUUAAUUGGUAGAGGAAUAAAUUAGAGAAUAACUUGUUCCACCCAAUAGAUGGAACUACUAUUCUCCCCUCUUAACAGGUUAUUUCGAAAUAACCCGUUAACGCGGAUAAAUUAAUAUGCCUUUUUUUUUUUUUUUUUUUUAAGAAUAGUGGGAUAUAAGGUGUUAUUUUUCUUUUUUCCCACAACCAAACAGGGCCAUAAUAAGUGAAUAAUUAAUUUGCAAUGUCAUAGAAGGAUACNUAUUAACGUGCCAAUUUUGUUUGGUGUUUAGCAAGAAUAGUGGGAUAUAAGGUGUUAUUUUUCUUUUUUCCCACAACCAAACAGGGCCAUAAUAAGUGAAUAAUUAAUUUGCAAUGUCAUAGAAGGAUACAAUAAUUAUUUUAUUAGACAAAUUAAUCUUUUUCUUGAUGUUGGAAAAAUUACAGUGACCAAGUUGCAAUAUCAGGAUAGUAUAUGGACUAUCAUGAUGUCCACUAGAUAGACAAUUUUUUUUAAAAAAACUUAUUUUAGGUUUUUUUUUUUUUUUUUUUAAUUCUCUCAAUAUUUUAAAAUUAAAACUUCAAAAUCAAUCUAUCAUUUUUUUUAAGGCUCAAGAGCUCAUUAUUUAACUUUCAUGCCGCAAUAAAACCUUCAAAUUUCUUCUAUUUAUCAAACGCCGUGACUUUUGCUUCUGCUUUUCUUUCCGAACGUUGAAUAUAAAAAAUAUUAAAAUAUUAGUCUCUGAUUUCUUAAGUUUUUAGAGAACAACAGUUGUCUCUUAUAAUUUGGCAUGAUAUAAGAGUAGAAGAUCCAGAAUUUGAGUCUCACCAGUCUCCUAGCAAUUGAAAAAUAUCGAGCCCAAACACUUGAGGAAAAAUACUUAAUACAAUUUAUAUAAAAAUAUCGUUAUCUGAUAACUUAAGCUUUCAAAAAAAAAUUGAUUACUUCAUAUAAUUUAGCUCCCAAGCAUUUGAAACAAAAAAAUCAAUUGUUUUAUAUAAUUUAGCACCUGAUAAAAUUACUGUAAUGAUCCAACCCGCUAGCAACAAUAACUCGUUGGGCUCAAACCAUCGGUCCAAAAUGCUUAAACUCAGUUAUUAUUACUAGCGUGUAACCCUCAUAUAAACUGAUCGAAAUUAGUAUCCCAUCCGAUGUGAGACUAUUGGGGUGUUACAAACUCUUCAUGUUUAGAUUCUGAGGUCCUCAUCAGGUCCAAACUAGAUCACAGACAGACAGAGUAGGACCAGAAUUGUCAGACGAUGUGAGAUUCUAGAGAUGGCUCCUACGGGUUCAAGAGGUGGCUCCCACCAAAUCCGUUGGUGUAGCACUUUGUUCCGCAUAGCACUUAGCUCUCACACUUCCAGCUGGUAUUCGGCUCUGAUAACAGUUACGUACAACGACCCGAUCCGGUAGCAACAAUAAUUCGUUGGAUCCAAACCACCAGCCCAAAAUGUUUAAACCCAGUUUUUUUAUUAUUAACGUGUAGGCCUCAUAUAAACUGAUCGAAAUUAGUAUCCCAUUCGAUAUGGCACAGGUGUAACAAUUACAAAGCCCAAAUCAUUAAAAAUGAGUACAAUUUGUUCCUCAAUCACCGUCAAUAACAUCCUCAAUCAUCUUCAAUAACUCAACAAUUCCUCAAUCAUUCUCCAAUAACACAACAAUUACAAGAGCACUCAACAUCCCCUAUCAAUCAAACUUUUCCCCAACACAUCUCCAUCAUAACCCUAACUAAUUAAUAAGAAAUUUGCAAUUAAUCCCUCCUACAAAAUACAACAUUAUUAUCUUUUCCAACAUCCUACAACUUCUUACAACAACAAUUCCUACCUACAUUGCUGCAGGAUGAAACAACUUUCUAGUUACAACCUUGGCUAAGCCCCAUUCAUACAACACUCGACCGAAUGCGUCGUAGAACACGAAAUUCGCCUCGAGGGGGCUCAAUCGCAGCGACAUGAAUCCUUGCCCGUCGUAGAAGAACUGGAGCAUGUCGGAGUUCGGCCUGAAUGCUCCCCUCCACGCUUUUGACCCUCCCCCGCUCGUGAAGUACUGUAUCGGGCUAGUACCGCAAAAAAAAGGAAAAAAAAAGAUAGCGUAAGAUUCGAAAUACGAUUGACGAACGUCUGCAAUAGAGUAAAUAGCUCUGUGAACACAUGGAUUUCAUCGAGACGAAAAAGUAACUUACCUAUCAAUGCUACUAAUGUGCUGGAGACAAUGAUCAUGACCAUUGACGUAAAAGUCGACUUCGUGCGCCUGUGAAAAACAUUCAAUCGAUCGAGCAAAUUAAAGCAUUAGUACAAACUAAGUUGCUUUUAGAGAUUCGUUAUCGACGACGAGUCGAACUAUAUAACAAAGUUUAAGUACAUUAGAUUACAAGAUUAAUCAUUUUAUUGCCUUGAGGAUGGGGAGGAGUGAUUUGAGAAGCUCUUUGGUGUCGCCGUGCUCGCUAACGCUUCUCAUUGUGUGAUGCCCCACAACAAUUUUCCAUGUCGCAACCGAUUCUUUCAAUGCGGAGUCCAAAUCCUACGCACAGAUCAUAAAAACACCCAAAGUUAUCGACGAGAGCUCAAAUUUACGAUCAAUCACGCAUCUUUUACGCACCUUUGAGAGGUUUUCGAUGUAAGUUUCGCGGGGAGAAACCUCCCUCCAGUCAUAGUGAUGGUCCUCAGGAUCAGUCCAAUACUUGUUGACGAAAGGGGUGGUAUCGACGAAGAAAAAAUCCGCGAUUUCUGAGAGAAAGGAAAGCAAAAGAGAUAAAAGAUCGAGAAAGGUCGAUCGCAAAUAAUUAAACCUAAAUAAUCGGAGAAUAAUGUAAGUUUUUACCUGCAUUGACAAUAAAAGAUCUCAUGCAAGUGAAUCGGGGAUCGAUCCUUCGAACUGCGUCGCUUAGUUGAGCUAGAACAUCACCCCUAUAAUCAUGAUUUCCGAGAACUAGAGAAAUAACACAAAAAUCAACAAAAAUCGCGCUAAAACAUUUAUAUAUGUUAAUAACUAAAAAUUUAUAUAUAUAUGUGUGGCGAAAAAAUUAUUACCAGUGUACCAUGGCUUGUGUAGGCUCUUUGCAGUGUAAAUGUUGGAGAAUGAUUCUUCGAACGCAGUAUCGUUGACGCCCGUUAAACCAUUUUCGUAGAAAUUAUCGCCGGUGGAUAUAACAAAAUCUAUGUCUAAUUCCUCUCCAAUCCUUCCCAUCUAUAAAAUCAAUCACAUUUUACAAAAAAUUUGGUUACAUUAAUUAGUUUCAAACUACAUAUUUGUUACUUAAUCUUUUUUUUAUACUUUGAUAAUAAUUGGUUCCUAAUUAGGGUAAUUUGAGAAUAGGAAUAAUUUGUUACUCAUCUAACCAAUAAAAAAAGAGAAAAUUGUCACCUCGCUAAUUAAAAACCCAAAAACUAACCUAAACAAACUAUAAAAUUAAAAGAAAGGGAAAAAAAUUCAACAACAGCAUUGAAGAUGCUGAUGAAGAGGUCAGGGGUUCGAUCUUCUGCUCGUGCAACUAUAAAAUAUGGCUCGAGAAACAAACUAAAUAUAUAUAUAUAUAUGUAGACUCAAAAGUAGUUAUAUAAUAAUUAAGUUGGUGCGAAAAUUUAGACCUGAGUUGCGACUAGGGAUUGGUUGUAGUUCCCUCGUCUCCCCCAAUCGCCGACGACGAGAAGGCUCAACGACCCGUCGCUCUUCGUCGGCUGAUCGAUCCUCGUGAGCUCCGCGAUGGCCGGCCCCGAGCAGAACACGAGCAGGAUCGAGAGGAUCAGAACCAGAGCCAUGGUCGUAUCAGAAAUCGAUGUAACCAUGGCUCUGGAUCUUCAAGGAAAAAAAAGACAGCUUGCGUAUAAUGCAUGCGAGGAACAACACAAAUAAGCAAACUCCUAAAAAUAUAUAUUAUCUAAAUAAACACGCAUAUUUAAAAAGUGAGAAGUGAAAGCAAGUGGAAAGUGAGUCGUGUCGUAAAAGACACCACCUUGUUUUUAUUAGUGGAAGCAAUUUUGGUGUGCGUGGAGAGCGAGGAAAACGAGGGGUACUGGUGCGAGAAAAUGCUAUUUUGUACAUUCAAAAAAUAAGAUAUUUAAUUUUAAAAUUUUAUUCUGAAAAAGCCGUUCAAAUAAUCAAAAUUGAGGACGGUACUAGACGCACCCAAAAUUUUUGGCAACUCAUUAUUACACGUACCUAUCUAAAGUUUCAAAUAUAUUUUUUAAUUUUUUAUAUUUUUAAACAAAUAAAUAAGAGUAGUAUGAAAAUACAAUUUAUGUGGUUUCGCAUUUUUCUCACUUUACUACUCUAUAAUUUAAGUUGUAUUACUUUAGUAUUUUAUGUUUUCAAUUUUCUCUUUCUAUUAUCCUCUCUUUUAAUUUUUUCGUUAAAUCACUGACAAAGUUAAAAUUAUAGGGUACUAAAAUAAAAAUUCGAUAAAUCACAAGAUACUAAAGUGAAUAUUCGAUAAAUCAUAAGUGGGGUAUUUGAAGUUUUUUGUAAAUGAUUUAACGGAGAGUUAACGGUAGUGCUGAUAGAAAAAAGAAAAAUGAACCACAGUAUACUAAAGUAAUAUAUUUUAAACCACAUGAUAUUAAAAUGAGAAAGUGUGAAACCACACGUAUAGUAUUUGAAGUUUACCCUAAUAUAUGAUUUAUAUCUACAUUUUUUGGGUCUACAAGUAUUGUUACUUGCAAAUAAAAAAUAAAUAAAUAAUUUUUCGAUUGAAAAUUCCCCUUUGAUACAACACGUUGAGACUUUUCCCUCUAAUAGCUUAAAACAUAAUUAUUUUUUUGUGAUUUUUAUAUUAUUUUUGAAAGUAAACUAAUUUUAAAAAAUAAUAGUACACUAAUAUAUUCAAUAACAUUUAUAUAUGUGUCUAUAAUUUAUACCUAAAUUAUCGAUCUGAUUGGAGCCGCUUACGAUAUAUAAUUUAUACUCCAUUAAUUUUAAAGAAAACUUCAAAAAAACCCCUGUAGUUUCACACUUUUUUAUUUUAGUACCCUGUGGUUUAAGGUGUAUCAAGUUAGUAUAUAUUCUGUGGUUUCUCAUUUUAUCACUUUAGUACCCUAUGGUUUAGAGUGUAUCAAGUUAGUAUCAUGUAGUUUUGCACUUUAUCACUUUAGUAACCUGUGGUUUCACACUUAUCACUUUAGUACUCUGUGAUUUAAAAACCACAGAGUACUAACUUGAUGUAAAAUUAAAACCACAGGAUACUAAAGAGAUAAAGUGUAAAACCACAGGGUACUAACUUGAUACACUUUAAACCACAAGGUACUAAAGUGAUAAAGUGAGAAACCACAGGGUACUAACUUGAUACAUUUUUUAACCACAUGGUACUAAAGUGAAAAAAAUUGAAACCACAAGGGGGGUUUUUGAAGUUUUCCCUAAAUUUUACAAUAAGAUUUUAUAAAAAUAUUAAAAUAGAAAUUAAUCGCAAAAGAACAAUUAAAAUACUACACUUUGAACUAUAAUAAGGUGUUAGUUAACUGAGAAUUAAGUAUAAAUUAACAUAAGGAUCUUUUUGAAAGAUCCCGAAGAUGUGGGGGCCAAGUAAUAAAAUAAUAAAUUAGUGACGUGGCGGAACGUGGUUGGUUAGUGCCUUCACCGGGUGUUACCGCACCCGGUUGUCUCCAUGUGCGGUGUGGUCACUGCCCGGUGAUUUUAAGAAAUGGUGUUUCGCGUAGGUUAAUAAUAACAAUAUAUGAAAACCACCUCAAUUAUAGAUUAUUUUGUAAAGGAGUCCUCAACUUUAUUACCUUUUGAUUUACAAUCCCUUUAGCUCGGGGAUGCAAACGGAUUCGGGUUGGUGGGGCUCCCGCCCCGAUCCGCUCCUAAUGCGGCAGUAAACGGAAAUAAAUAAAAGGAUUCGGGGCAGAGAAUGGGGUAGUUUUUAUGAUCCGAGAUGGAUUCGGAAUAGAAAACAAAAUUUUUUUUUGACCUGCUCCGAAUCCGUCUAGAAAAUUAUUUAUAUUUUAAGAAAAUAUCUCUAAAAAAUAAUAUAUUUAUAAAAAAGUUCAAAAUACAAAUAAGUUGAUGCUUUCAUUUUUCAUAUAUAUAUUUGAAAUUUUUAAAGUUUGCUUCGAAUUGUGAUUGAUAUUUUUUAUUUUUAUAAUUGAUAUUAUUAAUUUUAUAUAUAACUUAGUAAUAUUAUUCAUUAUUAUUAGAAAAAUAUUAACUUAUAAUUUACAAAAUAUUAAUAAUAUUAUAAUAUAUUAAUUGGUGAGGUGGAUUCGGGUGCCGGCGGGCGGGACGAAUUAUGAAAUAUAUUUUUUAACCCGUCAUGGAUUCGGGACGGGAGGUAGGGCGGGAUUUUGGUAGUCGGGGCGGGAAGUAGAGCGGGACUUCCGCCCCAUAUCUGUUUUGUUUCCAUCCCUAGUUUAGCUUUUAUUUUUUUUAUUUGAGUAAUUCCAGUUAUUUAAGUUAAAAAUUUUAUUAAAUUUAGCGGUUCAAUUAGGCAAUACCAGAUAAUUGUUCCGGAUUCGUUUACUACCAAAUAAUUAAAAAUAUCAAAUUUGAUAAAAUCAUCAAAACUUUGAUAAAGUUUUUGGUUAAAACUAAUUAAUUUUGGGGGAAAAAAUGCAAUUCAACAAUAGGUAACAAAUUACCGACUAUCCCUAGAGCAAGUGACAAAGAGCUUGGUGGUUGGUAUCCGAGUUUUCAAAUUCGAAUCCUAAUUUAUUAACAUUUCCAGCUAGGUUUAUUUCUAAAUGAAAUAAACGAAGCGGGUAGCGUGCUACCUAUUUCUUAAAAAAAAAAAAAAAAACAAUAGGUAACAAAUUAUCAUGACUAUCUAAUGGUAUAUGGUAAAUAUCAAUUUAGAUUAUUAGUGUGUGCAUAUAUAUAGUAUUUAAAAAAAUAUUUGAAAAAAUUAUAUAUAGAUGCAUAUAAUAGGUUUUAUAUACAUGUACACAAGAAUUUAAGUGUCUAUCAGUACAGGUCGUAUCUACCGUGCUGUGUCGUGCCAAUCAGUUAUCGGCACAAUACAAGUCCCGUACCGAUGGCACAGCUUAAAACCCUUAAUUCUUUAAAUUAAUAAAUAAUUUGCUGAAUAAAGUUCAAAAGAUUUGAUAAAAAUAUAUAAUAAACAAUUAGAAUAUUACGUUGCUAAAAAAAAUAAAUAUUUCAUACUAUUAUGUGUCGGCACACAUGAUUUUUUUUUAUGACCGACACGUAUUGGUAUGGCCCGGCAUAUACUGUGCCGUAUCAUGCCAGCAAAUUUUCGACACGACCCCGUAUCAUGGCACUUAAAUCCUUACAUGUAUAAGUAAAAAUUAUAACCUCGUCGGAUUUUGAAUUUUUAUUCAUGAUAAUCGAAACCAUAGCCGUUUAAGACACCCCUAGAACUAAGCGGGUGUCAAUUAAAAAAAAUAAUAAUAAAGUUGAGGAGUGUUUUUCAAAGUUACUGCAGUUGAGAGGGCCUCCAUGCAUUUUUACCAUAUAGCUUUGUCCUUCUUAUUAUUAUUCUAGUAUAUAUUAUGAGAAUAUUCUCCCAAAAAUUGCGUUUAUUCUGAAGCUACAGUUUCUAAUAACGCACCUAUGCUUUAUAUGGAAAUUUAUACUAAAAAUAAUUUCUAGUUUUUCAAUAUUUAUAUGCAAUUUUUUUUAGUUUUUAGUUUUUAUUUCGUAAAAGUUUAAUACUCAACUUUUUUUUUCUGGGAAAUUUAAGAAUACACUAUUAACACUUUGGUCCUUCAUGGAAACACCCAAAUUACAAACAGUUGGUUUGUAUCUAUUUCCACUUAAUAAAUUUAAUCCAAUAUAUACACUUGAUAUGUGAUAAAUUCAAACCAAAAAAAAAAUGUGAAAAUUAAAAAUAUUGUGCAUAUAUAUAUAUAUAUACUAGAAAACAAUAAUUAAUUGCUUGUGAUAUGUACAAAACAUGUCCAGCUAUUCAAAGCAUGGGCUAAUGCAAAUGGUGCUGUACGUGUCCUGUUAUGCAAAUAAUAUUUUUAUGCCAUUGUACCUGGAAUGAAUGUGAUGCUCCAUUUCUCAAAGGUUAGCUAUUUUAGAAUUAUUCCAGUCUUAGCACGCUUAAUCUAAAAUACUAUAACUGGAUUAAGAGAUUUAAUUUUAUUAUACGUCAUUACUAGGUAUAAGUACAUGUACAAAUAUCGAACGAUGUGAGACUUAUUUCGCUAGCUUUAGCUGACUUACGGUCGUCGAUCGGAGAGCUGCGCCCUGUCAUCUAUAUGACCCUAAUUGACUUUAUGGGAAGCCACGCUUCACCCAUACCAAUCGUUAGAUGGAAAAACACGUUCUAUCCGCUGGAUAUAUGAACUUAAUUUAGCGGAGACUUAUAUUAUACUUCUAGCUAAUAAUAGACUUUAAUAUUUGACGUGACGCCGCGCUUUCCAAAAAGAGGCCACUCAUCCUAGAACUAUUUUAACAUUAACACACUAAAUCCUGUUAAUCUCUUGGGCCUAAUCACUGUCCAAAAUAUUAUAUCGCCCGCUGCUUGUAAAAAUAGUCUUAUAUAUAAGAUAUAAUAAGGCUAAACCUCUUGAUCUGGCUAUAGCCGGUCGUUAAUCUCAAGAGGUUAAGAGAGUUAACAGUGUUAGAGCUAAAGUAGUUGUAAGAGAGGUGACCACCUGGGAAGCAGGGCAUCACAGACGGAAUAAGAGAUUUAAUUCUAUUAUAUUAUAUAUAUAUAUAUAUAUAUAUAUAUAUAUAUAGUUAUAUAUAUAUAUAUAUAUUAUAAUAUAUAUAUAUAUAUAUUUAUAUUAUAUAUAUAUUGUAAUUAGUUGGGAGUGUCACAAUGAAAUUGUUCUUAAUACAACCUUAUAAUUCUUCACCCUUUGAUAACACUUUUUUUUUUUUUACCUUUACUUUCUAUUCUUUAUCUACUUUUUAUGAAUGUUAGUGCCUUCGUUUUUCGAGCUUAACUUAUAGCUAGGAUAUCACAGAACUUUUUUUUUUAAAAAAAAAUAGUCUAAGUUGAAAUUUAUAUUUAUAAAAAUUGAUUUGUCAAAAUUUUAUUUGUAAAAAUAGGUUUAUAAACAACUAAGUGUAUAUGAGCUGAAAAAAAAUAUAAUAAUUGUUUAUUUUAUUCUGAAUGUGGCAAAUUUUUUUUGUAUUUCAAUAGCUGGCGAACCGUUGUUGAAUUUUAAAUGUGGUAAAUAAUUUAUUCCCUUUUUUUAUACUCCACUCGCUAUAUAUCUUGCUCUUUGAUCUAUGCUCCACAAAAAAAAAAACUUUCCAAAUAUCAAUUAAUGUUAGAUCCGAAGCCAGAGAUACAAGCCCAAAAUUUAAAAACACGUGGGGUUCGAACCUUUUGACCUAAAGAUCAACAUUCUGGUACCUUAUUAGUAGACUCAGCGAUUUCGUAAGAUGUAUACUUUGGAAAAGUAAGAUGAUUUACUAUUGCAUCGAUUUAUAAAGAAAAGAAGAACAUAUAAUGAAAGAUCCAUAAUUAAUGUAAUAGAAAUCUAGGGUUUAAAAUCAAAAUUGAAUCCGAAAAGUUGCUCAAAUUAGGUUUUAAUUUGGACCUGGAUUGUUAUUUAGGCCCAAUCAAAGCCCGGUCCAAUAACGCCCUGUCGGGCCGACCCAUGUACAUGUUUUGUCCUAUGAGUGGUUCCAAACUUACCUAGGGCAUUCCUCUGAUUUUUUAUCUCAUAAAAAUGUUUUCACAUAAAAUCAUCACAACAUGAAUUCCUAUAUUUAAUUGUUCAAGUCACUAGAUUUGAUGUAAUUAAUGAUACGUUUAUUUGAAUUCUCCAAUUUAAUUAACUAAAUUCACUUGAUUGAAAA